UAGAACAGGGUGGGUACCGAAAAUGUGGUUGUCCAAGCUCUUGUUCUUCAUGUAGGCGUAUACCAGUAUACGCUCAUUGCCUUCGUUGCAGUAAGCUAGGAGGCGGAGAAGGCUACCGUGAUGGAGCCCGGCCAUCACUGCCACUUCUCUGGCGAAAUCCUUCUUGCCUUUGUUCGUCAGAGCUGACUGCUUUAGCCUCUUCACGGCUACCAUUCUCCCGUCAGAUUGUACUCCCUGGUCAUUUCCAAAUUUCAGGUGAUUGCAAUUGCAUUUUUGGCAUUUGCCAGUGUACGGUAUUAAGUAUUUGCAACUUAUGUUUAAUUUCUUUUUUCAUGAGGAUUAGUGCAACUUUCAUGUUACAUGUGUCUAUCUUCUGAAGAGAGAGGCUCACCUUAUAAACGGUGCUAAAUCCACCUUCACCAAUCAAGCAAUUUUCUGAGAAAUUUUCAGUAAUAGACUUUAUAGUAGCUAGAUUGACUGAAGCAACGCCCAUAGAAGGGUUAUCUGGAAUAACAUCUGUGGUAUUAGCAAUUUAGCAUACAGUUUGUUAGCUUAGAACUUCAUAAUAAAUAUCCUUAAGAUUAAAAGCCUGGAUUUACCUAAAAUUCCGUGAUUCUUUUUGCACCAAAUAGCCCAAACCCCAAAAGCGAUCAAAAGAAUAGCAAUGGUAGCAGCUACAGGUGGGACAACUAGUACAAUCAGAGACCUUUUGGUCUCAACUGUUACUCAGACAAAAAAAAAAAGACAUAGAGAGAGAUCAGUUCAUGCUCAGAAUUACUCCCUUCGCUGACUUUUCUAGUUAAAACUUCUUUAGAUUAAAUCAAAUUUAUAUAAAAAAUUAAAAGAGAUUGCGACAUCAAUUAGGUUCAUUAAAUAUAAUAUUAAAAUAUUUUGAUAAUAUGUUUAUUUGUAUUGAAAAUAUUGUUAUAUUUUUCUAUAAACUAAAUUAAACUUAAAAAAGUUUGAAUAGGAAAAAGAAAAGGUGAGAGUGACUUAUAUUCGAGAGAGUAUCAUAUGUCGGCAUUUCUUUUACGGUGACAUCAGGAUCGUUACUUUGUUAAAAAAAAGAACUGUUACUUUGACAUUUCUUUCGCUAAUCUUUUAUCUGGGGUCAUUUUCAUUCAAAAUAUAGGCUCGGAUUGAAACCCAUUUUCAUUAUUGUUUUAGAACAUAAUCUUUCAAGAUAAAAUUGAAAAUAAAGCAAUGCACAUACCAAAUUCAGACUUAGCCAAUCUCAGGUACAAAUCCUGCCCGCGGUCAACGUAGCGAAGAUCGACGAUGUCGUCCGUCCAAAUGACGCAGCCGCCGCCGUUGAUGUCGGCGGCGGCGUAGGCCACGCACGAGCAGUUUCCCAGGCACCUCCGCUCGCACUCCGCCGCCGUGGCGCCCAUGUCCACCGACGCGUUGCGCGUGUCUGGCAGCUUCACCCCCCGCACCACCUUGAACUUGUCCGUCGUCCUGCUCCCGCCGCCGCCGCCGGCGCAGUCCAGCGCCACGCCUCGCCGGCACCCACCGGAGGUGUUCCGCAACGCCCACGCCGACGGCGACGCGGCGGUGAACCCAUCCACGCAGCCGCAGAACGACGUCGCCGCGGCGUCGGCGUCGCACAGGCCGAACGGCCCGCACCGCGCGUAGCUGUCGCAGGGGUCCCUCGGGCCCUGGAAGAAUCGCUGCCAUGCCCGGCUGCUCGCGUCCCACACGAGGCGCUCGACCACGCCGGUGUAGUUCACCACGACGCGCGUCAAUGGCGCGGCGCCGGCCGUGGCGACCGAUCCGUAGCCGUAGGUCACCUCCCUCGCGCUGGACGUCACCUGCAGCGGGAACUUGUCGGAGUAGUUGGACGCCUCCGGGACGCCGUUGAAGAACCUGCCGUUCCACGGGCCCGUGCGGUACACCUUGGUGGCGCCGCCGCCGCCGCCGCCUCGCCACAGGACGAGCUCCGGUAGGCCGUCCGUGGCCAGCGUGCGGCGGUAGUCGCCCGGCGACGGGUCGUCAGCGGAGCGCCACGCCGUGAUGAACCACUCCUGCCCGCUCCACAGGCUCUUGCCCAUCUUCAUGCCGGGCAGCAGCGUGUCCGACGGCUGGUCGAACGACUGCCACAGGUAGGCGUCGCCGCCGCUGCCAUUGCGCACGACGAGGUUGCCGGAGUCGAGAAGCUGAACCACCGCGGCAGAGGCGGCCAAGAAGCUCGCGGACCACACCGUCCGGCGAGAGCCGCCGUCGAGCAGGACGAGCUGGCUGCCAUCGUCGUUGAGCAGCAGCACGCCGGACUUGCCGUCGAGGGGGCGGUCACGGUUGGCUACCCAGUAGACGGUGUCGCCGGACACGGUGAACCAUAUGCCGAGGUAUCUCUUGGUCGACUUCCCGGGAGAGAAGAACCCCAGAGUGUACGAGCCGCCGCCGGACGAGACGAGCGUCUGGCCGUCGGUGAGGUUCUGGCCCUUGUCGAGCUUGUCGGCGACGCCCGCGGCGGCGGCGGCCGACGUUUGGCCGGAGAGGAGGAAGAAGAAGGCGACCAGGCGGAGUAGGUUAGACGAUUGCCUGGUUGACCUCAUGACAAGGUCAAAAUGUCUCUAGCUCUUGUUGCAUGCAGAAAGGCUAGCUCAUGCAGCAGAUGGCCAUGAAGGAUGGUCAUGUAUACUGAUCAUAGGCAUUUCUGGAUAUUUGGAUUGGAAUAUUGGAUGAUAAACUAGUUAAUUCAGGUAGUCCGGAUCUGUCUAUUUAGAAUUUGAAAGAGGUACAUCAAAUCCCAUACGACAAUAUCUAAAUUCUCUCAAAGUCGUACUCCAACUAAUUGGCUGAAUUUAUUAAUUUGCACUCAAUUGGGUGUGAAAAAAUUGCUUAAAAAGUGCAGGUCAAUGUGACUGCUUCGUUCCAAAGAUUUCUUCGUCUUAGCACGACCUGUGGCUACACGUAACCAUGUAGCAGAGCUUUACAUUCUUUUGGCCUGAAAAAGGAAAUGGAGAAGCACAAUAUGCAUCCUAGUUAUCCAAUGGGUUAACACAAGGCAAAAGUCUCCCGUGCACGAUGUCUCACAAAUGACUUUUUACAGACACUCAAAUCCUACUCAAAAUAGCAAACAGAUUUGAUAACCGGUCACUAGGGCCUGUUUGGUUGCUACCCUGAAAAAAAUUUACCUGACCUGAGACUAGCCUGACUCGUUCUAGGCUCUGUUUGGUUGCUAGCCUGACACUCUUUUACUCAACACGGAGACGCGUGAUUAGCCUGAGUCAAAUCGGUGGCCUGAGCCUCAGGCGCAGCGAGGACAGAAGAUUACCAUCAUAAUCUGUUUCGGCAGCCAGCAGAAUGAAGCUGCCCUCCCGUGAAGCUCUGAUGCCGCCACUGCGUGAAGCCCUUGCCUGGCUGCCUCCGCCGCCGUAGCUAUCGCCGCCGAGUGAAGUCCAUGCCACCGUCGCCUUCGUCUACGCGAAAGCCCCUGCUGCCGUCGCCGGCGUGCGACACCAGAUUUAUCCCGUCGUCUUUCGCGGCGGCUGUCGAUUCUUCGGAUCCCGUCGUUGUUGCAACAUCUUGGCGCGAAGCUUCAGCCAAUGCUGUGAUUCUUUUCGCUCCUGUCGUUGUUGCCGAUUGAAGCUUGCCGACUGCUGCUUGGAUUUGGGGAUAUUUUUAAUCCUUGUACUCCUUUGGUUUCCCUUUUUUUAUGUAUGUGAUUAAUUGCUAUUGGAAAGCUACGAUUUCAGUUGGAACUGUCAAGCAAUCUCGCCGAAAUUUGCGUCUUCUUGUUUAGCACUUAACUUACUAGUGAAUUAUCAGACCCAAAUCACUUUUUCCCUUCUCAGGCAGCGGCGGCAAACCAAACAAGCAAAAGUUCAGGCCGCCUGGCCAGGUAACAUUCAAGAACUUCUCAGAAGCAUGGUGCUCAGGGCAUCAACCAAACAGGCCCACAACAGGAGGAUAAAUUUCCUGGUGUUGCAUACCCUGAUACCCAGAUGUAUAAACAAACGGCAUUCCAAUUCCCAAAUACGCUUACAGUUCCACAUAUUACAAGCAAACCUAUAUACAAAAAUAAUAACAGGUUUAUUACUAGGUUAACAACAAACAAACAGGGAAAAUGAGAGACACCAACUUCAGUAAUCCAGGUUGGCAAGUUGAACAAGAGAUUCAGAGGCACUGACAAGGAGCUAUCUGCCUUGCAAUUGAGUAUACGUCAACUGAUUCCCCGAUCCAGUAUUGUUAUCAUCCAGAGGAACCCUUCCGACGAAAAAUGCAGCUUGCUUCGGAGCAGGAAGUGUAACAUCCCCACUGAGCAUCCUGAGCACCAGGGGCAUGCUUGGCCUAUCACCUGGUAAUUCCUGCACGCACAGAAGACCAACCUGGAUGCAUCUGCAUACUUCAUCGUAAGAGCAUAUGGUGCCCAUGAGUGGAUCGAUCAGCUCCGAGACACUGCCUUCCUUCCACAGUGUCCACGCCUGAAAUGGGUACAGUGAAUUAGAAGAUGCCAAUCAUAAAACGUGUAUUGAUUACCAUAUAGUUUGCCAUUUAACUGGAAAAUGACAAGGGGAAGAAGAUAGUAUCAUCUUACGUAACCCAAGAGAUUCAUUGACCAUUCUUCAUCAACAAAUGAGCUGUUCCUUCGUCCGCUCACAAUCUCUAGGAUCAACACGCCGAAACUGAAGAUGUCUGAUUUCUCAGAGAAUUUGCCCUCCAUUGCGUACUCUGGAGAGAUGUAGCCACUGCAUCUCACAGAUUUUAGCACAUUUAGUUUGCCUUCUAGGACAUCUCGUAAUGUCAACUAGCAGGUGGAUUUUGUUAUGAUCUAAAUAAUGUAGUAAAAUCAUAGAGUUAAUGAUGCAAGAAGAAAGCAGUAGUUUAGUGAGGCAGGUCAGUACAGUUAAGAGUUGGAUCGUAGAAUUUUUGUUCAAUUUUACUCUAGUGAACAAAAGUGAAAAAGAGCCUUACUAGGUUCCAACAAUUCGGUGGGUAAGGGCUUGAAGUUGGUGUUCACCAAAUAUUCUAGCCAUACCAAAGUCAGAUAUCUUGGGGUUGAAAUCAUCAUCAAGCAGAAUAUUGCUCGCUUUGAGAUCCCUGUGAAUAAUUUUGAGCCUGGAAUCCUGAUGAAGGUACAAUAAUCCUCUCCCAAUUCCCUGAAUAAUCUUGUAUCGCAAUUUCCAUCCAAAUAUUAGCCUCUUACUUUCAUCUAAUAAGAUUCACAUGAAAGCACCAAAUUAGCAGACAAGUUCAGUUACUGGCUUACAUCUAAACAAAAUCAGAACGUCAGGAUUUGCAGGAAUCAAACUAAACGUUACCAAAAAUAAAUGAGUCAAGGCUCUUGUUGGGCAUGUAUUCAUACAGCAACAUCUUCUCUUCUCCAUGAACACAACAACCAAAGAGCCUAACCAAAUUCCGGUGUUGCAGUUUGGAUAGAACUAUCACCUCGUUCUUGAACUCUUCCAAUCCCUGACUGGAUCUGUUUGACAGCCUCUUGACAGCAAUCUCCUGGCCAUCAGGUAGUACCCCCUAGAAGUAAUAUCAACUAUGUUGGUUCAGGUAUUGAUCUUAUAGCAUUACGAUUUUGAAUUCCAGGUCAGAACAAAGAUAGUAAAAACAACAAUUUCAUUCAUAUUAACAAGAUAGGAUAAAAUGAUAAAAUGUUUAAAUGACCAUACCUUGUAAACAAAACCAAAUCCGCCUCCACCAAGCUUGUUGCUAAAAUUAUUUGUUGCUGAAUAAAUCGUGCUAAACUCAACUAGUGGUGAGCUUAGAACUGCGGAUUUCACUGAAUCACUUCUGAAUAUAGCUUCAUCUGCAGGUGGUCCAGCUUCUUUUGUGAUCAGCCGUGGUGCUUGUAUUCUCCUUAUGCCUGCAGAUUAGUAAAAAUAUUAGAUAUAAACCUACCAGACAGCUGUUAACGCAAACUGAACUAUAUCAGCAAUCUCUAAGACUAAGAGAUAACUGUCAUGAAAUUAUGUUUGGCCGUAGAAUAUUAUGAAGUCUUAGCCUUGUAUAUUCAUAAUCUGAACAAUGGCAUGUAUCAUACAAAUUAUUCCUCUAAAUCAUACAACAGAAAGAAACACUAAUGACAUCGUAGAAGGAAUCCAAAUACAUGUGAAGAAGUCAGUAAUAAAAAUAUUACCCAUUUGCUUUAUGACAAAUUUCUUCAGGCAUCCAAACACACAGAAAUGCAUGAGCAUGAUGCCGAUAAGGAAGAUGGCAGUAUCAGCGCUCACUAAGACAAUUGAGCAUUUAUGCUUUGCCUAGAGGAAUGCAUGUCAACAUCGAAAUUUCGUGGAUUUGCAAGAUAAUAUGUUGUCAAUGCUCCGUUCUUAUCAAACAGAACAACUGGUCAACAAGAUUGGUAGAAUGACAAAUAAAAACUGAUAAAUUUAUAAGACAAUGGAACGUGAUGUAUUAGACACUGUUAUCCUUCGCUUGACCACUUCAACCAUUCCAUGUUCUUGACAAGUUCAGUAUUUGUUGACGAGAUCAUGAAUAAACAAUCUUAGGAUGUCACUAUCUGACCAUGCCACCUCCUAGCUUUGCUUAGGAGUUAGGACAGGAGCGAAGAAGGCAAUGCAUUUUUUUCAUAGAGCAAUGCUUUUCGUUGGCAAGUGGCAACAAAUUAACAGCAGCCGGAGAAAUCUCGGGACAGUCUAGCAUGGACCAAGUGCUGAAAAAAAAAUGAAAAUUGAGACGCGGAAAUGUACGUCCUUGCAGAUUAUCAGAUUAGUCAACAUAUGCGGCGAAUAACUAAAAUUUCUAACUAUCUUCCCGAUCCCUAACUCACAAUCCCUGUAGAUUGUCUAUACGGGUAUAGGUGGGAACAGGAUGGAACUGGGAUUAAAUUUUUGCGGGACCUAACAACCCAGAAAUUUCUUCAUUCAUGCAGGCAGGAUGACAUUUCGUGCAUUCCUAUACCAAAAAUAUCGCUUAAAAUCUGAGGUGAAAUAAGGGAGGAGUAGUACGUAGUUACUGAUUCUGGGUCGCCUUUCCGAGCAAGGGAAACGCAGAUCGCCGAGGAUAAGAUGGGGAGAUCUUCACGGUGGAGAGGAUCUGGGCGGCCGACCCAUCGCGCCUACGGCCGGCGGGUCCCCCCCCCCCCUUCCAUCGCCGGCCAGACCGCCGGCGGCUUCGGCCUCGUCGCCUCCGCCGUCGCCGCGGCACACCACCUCGCCGGCAGCGAAUCCCCUCCCCUGGAGGCCAGUCCGACUAAUGGGCUUUGCCGUUAGCGGCCUAUACCGUAAGCAGGCCAGAUCUAGUUGUCACAUGCGGAAAGAAUAAAUUCACUUUAGGUCCCUCUAUUUGUCGUACAGUCUGAUUUUUGUCUCUGAAGUGUAAAACCGGAUACAACAUAUCCCCCAACUUAUAAAACCAGCGCACAUAAGGUCAGGUCCUAAGGUGGUUUGGAUAGCAGUUUUGGCUGACGUGGCGCCUACGUGGCUGGUUUGACUAGGUCUCCGUCCCACGUGGCAUUGACGUGGCACUUACGUAGCAAUUAUAUCUCAAAAAAUAAUAAAAACAGCGGGCCCACAUGUCAACUACACAAAAAAAAUUAAUUUAGAAAUGGUGGGGCCCACGGUGGCCCACAUGUCAACUACACAACAAAAUAAAUAUGGUGGGGCCCACGUGGACCCCGUAUGUAGGCUGUAGCAAUUUCUUUCUCCUCUCUAUACCCUUCUCCCCUACCUUCCCAUAUCAGCCAUUGCCGUCGACGAAGAAGCUUCGCGUGGGUGGUAGAGCGGGGCGGAGUGAGGGGCGGCGGCGCGGCGGAUCCUCGCGACCACGUACGGCUUCGUCUUGACGGCACCGACGACGCGGAACCGGUCGCCGCCGACGUACCCCACCUCGCCGGCGCACCCCGCCCCCACUCCGCGCGGGCCGCCGCCGCCGGAGUACACGACGCCGAUCCUGGAGCCACGUGUGCACCAUGGUCCGGUUCCUGAACUCGAACGCCUGGAGCUGCACCGUCGCGCCGGGAAGACCACUGACGGGAACAGCACGAUGGGGAUCUCCGCCGCUUGCUCCUGCCGCGGCGCCCUCGUCCACGCAGCCGUGCAGGUUGCUGCCGCCCCUGCAUGUUUCCCAUCAAACGUGUACUAGCAACUACAACCAGCAACACCAUGGAUUGUUAGUUGAGAUGAUCACAUCUUCCAUAUAUAUCAUAUCAGUUAUCCCCAGCUCCUAGGUUUUUUCUCCAGCUAUGAUCAAUGAUUCAAACGAGUACACUUUGUCCGAUCCACAGGUCUGAAUAUUCCAUCCGCAGAGAAUUCUGAGACGACGACGACGAAGAAGCUAGAUGGAACUUGCAGAGUCUUGAGCGCCGUGGUCUCCUCCUCCUCCUCCGCGGCAGCGGCGGCGGGCUGCCUCGAGCUCCCGUCCACGUGCGGCUGCGACUCGGCGGGCGGCGGAGCCAAGCGGAGGGCGCCAGCCUCGUCGUCGUCGUCUUCCGGCACGAAGCCGGCGGGGCGGGGCGGAGCGGGGGGCGGAUGGCAGCGCGAAGCCGACGGGAUGGACUGGGGCAGCGACGGGCGGACGCGCGGGCGGAGUCUUCUUGAGGUCGUCGUCCCCGGCGCCGCCGUGACCGUGGCCGGAGAGGGGAGAUGGGGAGAGGGGAGGAAGAAGAGGUAGGGGUGAGUGACAUGCGGGGCCCACGUGGGCCCCACCAUUUUUUAUUACUUUAUGUCUAAAACUGACAUGUGGGUCCCAUGGGGUUUAAUAUUUUUUCAUAUCAAGUUGCCACGUCACCACCAUGUCAAUGCCACGUGAGACAAGGAGCUAGUCAAAGGGAGCCACGUAGGUGCCACAUCAUUUAAAACCGGGCACAAUACUGCCGAGGGACUUUUUCUGCAUGGUUUUGUAAGUUGAGAGAUGAGUUGUAUCUGGUUUUGCGACCAAAGGAUAGAAAUAGGACUGGACGACAGAUAAAGGGACCCAAGUGAACUUAUUCCCAUGCGGAACAACCUACAAUCCGGCUUCAUUUAGAAUGGGCCUCAAUUCAAGCCCAUUUAUCUGUAUGGGCUAGAAUUUAAGUUCAAAUCCUCAUCCUUUUCACGCUUGAUUGGGCUGGGAUUAAGGCCCAUUUAUACACGGCCACCAUGCUUCUUUUUACCAACGAACGAACUGUCGCAUUCAAAAGAAGAGAAAACACCCCCCCUUCUUCUUUCUCCUUGACGUCAUGUCAGUGAACUUGUUUUCCUUUCCCUCCUUCAAAAACCAUGUAAGCAAAUCCAGGAGAGAAAAAAAUAAAGAUCUAGACAUCGGACGGCACUAUCCAAGUUUACCACAUCCUGCGGGCAGAGCUCGCGUCACUGCCGUCACACCGUAGGGAGUUUAACGCGCCUAAGCAUCCACACCCCUCGCCGGGCGUCCGCAUCAACGCUGCUGCUCCCGUCGCCGUGCCACCCACUCCACCAUCAGUCCAUCACAUAUUCUCUCGUCCUAUCUCUGAUGGCGCUGUCCACAUGCGCCACCGUGGCACGCGCCGCGCCGCGCCGCGUCAGGCGUCCGUCAGCGGGUGGAAACCCACCGGUAAUGAGAACGAACGCCACCGCGACCACACACAGAACCCGCUCGGAAACACAAACAUCGGCGUUGAACGCGCGACGAAUUCCAACGCGAGAACGCGCCCAAAACCGCAAAGCAGCCGAGCUUCUCUCGCGCGCGCACCAACCGCCGCCCGUGCCCGGUGCUCCCCCCACUCACGGCACUACAACAGGAAUACCCCUCCACCAACGUAUAGGCUGCAACGGAAGUGAUAAUCGUUGUUAAGCAUCCGCUUUCAACCACUCGGCCACGCCCAGCGACCCAAGUCAACAGAAACGCAACCAACCAUUAUCUUUUCCUGAAAAACCUCCCCUCACAAUCCUCGCCCGAUCGAAAAGGAUCGUGAUCCCAGAUCGCUGCCGUGUCAAUGCUGCGCCGCCCCGGCCCGAGCACCGCCGCCUCGUCCCUGCCCUGACCCCGCCGCAUCCUCCAGUUCUGCCGUCGACGCUGCGCCGCCUCGACCCGCAUGUCGCCGCUUUAUCCUCUCCCGUGCUGCGCCGACGGCUGACCGGCACGCCGCCGCCUCAUUGCCCCGAUCGCGAUGGCCCCUGAAUCCCCUGACCCUGUUGCCUGGACCGCCACAUCGUGCUCCAUCUCGUCCGCUGCUGUUCUCAGCUGAUCUGGUAUGUGAUUGCGGCUUCUAAUGUACGAAUUAUCAUUAUUCCCUGACGUGGACUGUUGUGUGCUCUAGAUACUUCGUUAAUUUUGCAAGAAACACACCUAAAUCCUGUAGAGCUUUAUAUCUGCGAUAGGCAAGUAAUGAUGCCCUCUUUCUCUGCAGGUUGAUCCCUAGUGACUUAGUUAUUAGUUAUUGAUCAUGCCCCAAGUUUCUCGAUGGAAUUGCAAUGUAAGCUAAGUGAUUAGUGAAUCUUGUGGCUAUUUUUCUGCUCUGGUAUGUGGUAAUGACAUGAACCAUGCCUUUUUUAUUAACUUUAUCAUUAUACAGUGCAGAGUAACCAUAAAAAGAUAUAAAGUUCAUAGCUCAGAUUGUCGACUUUUUUUAAUUAGUUUAAGUUAUGUUUUGCCAAUUACUACCUGCUACCAGAUACAUAAAUUUAACAUGUGGACAGUUGUUUGUUGCUGUUCUAUCAUCUAAAAGAUGAGUGUAUUCAUGCCACAGAAAUAUUCUGCUUUUCUUAUGUCCAAGUUCCAUUUAUUUCAGUGUGAAGAAUUAUUAGCAGAGAAUUCUUAACCAGGGAUGGUUCCAAAGAUGCUUGGCACAAAAAUUUAGCCAUUGGUGAAAGCAAAUAAUUUGAUCCAAAGAGUAACUCUGGCUGUUAAGUGACAAAUUGAGAUCUCAUUCUGCUACAUGAACAAUGGUAAGAUUUACUAGGAAUAUGUCAUUGCAGUUUAAUUGUCGUGGUGUAUAAGUUAUCCCUUUGUGUUCUUAUCUGAGCUAUAUAAACUAAUAGAAACAUUGGCAUUUAAUUAGAAAUACCUGGAAUCAUUUCCAAUUGUGUAUAGCAGUUUUGGGCUAUCUUGUUGAUAGUUUGUGCAAUUUUUUGACAGGGAAAGCCAACCCAUACUUCGGAUUUUUUCCAAGCUGUAAUGGGAUGUUAAAUGUUCAUUUCCAUUACAUAUCUUUUCCUGUAAUCCAGUGACAUCUAUUUUAUGGUGAAGUGUUGCCUUGAGGAUGAUGGGAUAGAGGAAGAAGAAAUUGCUAAGGAGAAGAUAUUGUUGUUGCUGCCAAGUGCCCAAGUUACAGAAACUAAUGUUGAUCUGGUCACAGAGAAAAUUCAAGAUGAUGUUUUUUUUUUUUGCAAGAUUCAACAUAUGUUUGUACUACACUCACUAAUAUGCUGUGGUGUAUACACAAGUUGUACUUAUAAGAGAUUUGUGAAUUAAUAUAUUGUGAUUUUUUUCUUAUAGUACUUAUGAGUUUUUCUUGUCCAAAUGGAACCUAUAUAAGAUCGUAGUGUAAAUUAUUAAUUACAAAUUGGCAAGUAAGUAAUAUGUAUUUGGUAAAUGUGAACAGUAUCUUCCAGUUGCAUCCUAUUGCUCACUUACAACAGUUAUUUAUGUCGUUACCAACGCUUAUGUAUGUAUGGCUAUAGAUCGUAGCAACGUAUAGACCUUAGCAACGCCGGCAUAGGCAACACAUAGUCAAUGUGUUGCUAUUGGACCUUACAACGCUUAUUUAGACCUUUAGCCACACAUAUAUUCGCUGCUAGAGGGGGGUUCCUCUUGUAGUGUUCCGGCGAAAAGAAAAUCUACAGAAGCACAGAUUCUCGCGUCGCCUAGCGACUAGCGAGACUGCUAAGCUAGAGUGGUUGGCCUUAAUCAAAUACUGCUACUGUCCAACUUGCGGUUCGGCUCAUGUGAUUGGUCGUCGCGUGUUCAUUCGCGCACGAGUUCAAUACUUGUAUUACUGCACUGAUCAGUUCUAGAUGCAUACAUGGUUGGUAUUUGGCAUCUCUGAAAAUUGGACUUAGGAUUGGAUUUACGUUAGACUUGUGAGGGCAUUGAAUUGAACAUGUAGAGACAGACGAGAGGAAGGAGUAGUUGCGUUGGCGCCUAAUCCGUUUGUCGACAGAAGGAAAUAAGCAGCAAAUAUAUAGAAUGUUCAAAUGCAGGUUCUAACGCUUGGGAAACUUCUGUGUUUGGUCAACUCGUCUUUCUUAAUGGGUGAUGGAAAAUAUCUUAACCGUGUCAGCAACACGGCAACUUCUCUAGAAUCUAGAUUCCCAUGCAAAAAUGAACUAUUUUUUCUACUCUAAACAAAUCUGAAGCCCUCGACCACAUAAACAGGUCUGAAUAAUAUAACCUUAAAUCUGAUGAAAUCGAUCUUUGCUCACUGUAAUCUGCUCACUAACCUGAAUACAGUGAUGCACGCAAAGGCAAAAAAGUAUAAAUAAAAAGCCAGAAAAGUCAGAAGCAUCUGUCAUCAUGGCCUCAUGGGUGCCAAUGGAUGAUGCAGAUCUGGGACAGAUGAGACGACAAUUGGGCAAUAAUGCCCAACUCCAACUCCAUGUAGAGAAGGAAAUUUCGAACGGAGGUCGCUUUCUAUAUUUCUCUUGUCCUCUUCUUCUCCCCUUCGUCCUCGCUACCAUCGCCCUAUUAAUAUUCCUCAAAAUCCAAAUUUGAGACAACCCGAAUUCAGUCCUCAGCGAGUCGGAAACGCGCCGAAAGACGAACUGGAGGCGCCCCCCCAAAUCUUGAGAUCGCAGGUAAUGUCCAUAGGCGCCGAGCUUCAUGAGUCCUCCUGCGAGGGAUCUUGUCUUGAGGUUUCUUGCAUAUUGGCCUGUGCAUUUUGAGUUUUGAUGUGCUUGCUGCUGAUCCGAAUUCCAUCUCCGUUGUUGCCGUAAGAUUCUGAAUCGAAUUCAUGCAUUUGUACGGCAGAUUUUUUUUUCCCCCGCUAGAUCCGUAUGGUGUGGUUAUUUGGGCGAUGAUAGUAUGGGUCCAAGAAACGCGGUUUUCCCUGUGAAUUGAGGAUCUCCAAUUUGCUUCUUUGGCUUCGGUCCAUGGCAGUUGUGUUCUCCAAUCCCAUGGUUCAUGCUAGACGCUUCCUGCAGACAGGACUAGACAUUUUCAGUUUUGGUAACUGUGAAGAUUAUGGCAUUGUUUUACCAAGAGAAACUGCUGCAUUGUGAUAUGUAAAAAAUUACCCUUUUUUUCCUUCUCUUUUAGUAGAAUUAUUACGGAACAUGCUUCGCUUGGCGUCUGUAUCGAUCUACGUUCUUUAUUCUAAAAGGCUGUGCUUUUUUGUGAGCAUUGUCAUCCUUUUUUUUUUCCUUUCAACUCCUUCUGUUCAUUUAAUGAACAAUUCCGUUCUUUCUGGUGUUGAUACUGCCACGUUUUACUGAUUUUCCAUUAUUUUAUUAAUUCCUACUUGACAAGAUUCUUAUCGAACAAUUAUUGUGAAUCUUUUAGUAGGAAUCUCGUAAAGCGCCAGUGUCGCAUUUUCCUUUGAGGAUCUGAUUUUUCCCAUCAAGCAAUGGUGGGAUAGCCAGUAGUAAAAUUUAGGCUUUCAGGCUCACUCCACAUCAGAAAAUUUUCUACUUACAUACUAUCGUUUGUAGAACAAUCGUGGAAGUUUAUGCCCUUGCUCAAAAAAAAAAAAAGAACAAUCGUGGAAGUGGAAAAAGGGUUCCGUGAAGCGCAUAGAUCAAUAAUGUCUAAUCUCUUUUCACUCAUAAAAAUGUUUUGCAGGAUGGAUGGACAUACAAAUGGCACUAAUGGUUCCUGCUCUAAGCCAUGCGAGCCAUUAACAGACUACUGCAUCCCUGAUUACAUUCUGAAUCCUGACUCUGAACAAGUCCUCGUUGAUCAGGCACCAUGUUGCCCUGUAGUAGUAUUCAUCAACUCUAGAAGUGGCGGCCAACUCGGAAGCAGUUUGAUCAAAACGUAUCGUGAGCUUCUCAAUAAAGCGCAGGUACCUAAUCUAGUAGUUUGGGAAGAUGGAAUGCUGAAAAGAUUCCCUUGAGCCAUAGUAGGACUUCAUAUCAUUCUCUCAUAUUAUCUCAUAUUUGGAUCCACAAUUUUUACAGGUUUUUGAUUUAUCAGAAGAGGCUCCUGAAAAGGUGCUUCACAGAUUGUAUUGCAACUUUGAGAAGCUCAAGUCUAAUGGCGACCCUAUUGCUUUUCAAAUUCAGAGCAACCUAAGACUAAUUGUGAGUAGCCUAACUAGAAAACAUAAAGAAUGAUCUUUUUGCUUUAGGAUAUGUCCUCUUAACUAAUGAUCUUUGAAAUAGGUUGCUGGUGGUGAUGGCACAGCAAGUUGGCUGCUUGGUGUAGUUAGUGACCUUAAGCUCUCUCACCCACCUCCUAUUGCAACUGUGCCUCUGGGAACUGGAAACAACCUUCCAUUCUCAUUUGGAUGGGUAUGUCUAUGACUAUUGUUUUGUUCCAACACAUAUAUUCUCUUCAGUUGUGAUAAUCUCCUCCCUUUAGAUAAUUCACGCUUGUUGUGAAUUUGUGAUCAUAUACGAGCUGUUUUUGUUGUUGAGCUGUUUGACAACAUAAGAAGGUUUAGCAUUAAGAAACAUGCAUUUUUGAAUUAAUAGUGAAAUAGUGAUCAUACGCUUGAUACCUAAAUUUUAUGUCUUAUUGACUGUGAGCUGUGAGGGGUGCAUGAUUUUUCAUUCUAAAGUAGAAGAUUACUGAAUCUGAGAUUUUCUUGUUAGUUUGAUCUGGAUUCCUUGGCCGUCUUUUUACCUAGUCUGCAUAAUCUGCAGCCAUGAUCUCUGAAUCUUCCCUGGCAUCUAGUUUUAUACCUCUAUUAAAUUUAAUUUGACUGCAGGGGAAGAAGAACCCAACCACUGACCAAGAGGCGGUGAAAUCAUUUCUUGGACAAGUUAAAAAAGCAAGAGAAAUGAAUAUUGAUAGGUAAUAUCUCAAGCACACAAUGUUAUAUUUGUUUCUGUUUUUUCUGUCAUGCUUGUGAAAAGUACAAGUCCUGCCCAAUAAUUCACUGCGACAGCUCUUUCAUAUAUGUUGUGUAGCAGUCAUUUUUAGUUUUAAACAUGAGUAAAAUGUAAUCCCUUAUAUAUUCUGCAUAUGAAAGAAAACACUCAUUUGAAUGUACUUUUUUAAGUUGGCAUAUCAUCAUGAGGAUGCGAGCUCCACAGGAAGGUCCAUGUGAACCUAUUGCUCCGUUAGAGCUGCCUCACUCAUUGCAUGCAUUCCACCGUGUAUCAGGAAGCGAUUCACUUAAUAUGGUAAGACAACUCACUGUGGAUACUGUUUUUACUUGAUUCUUUCUAUUACAGAAGUAGUAGCCAAUAGCCAUGGACUUUCACUUUUGAAUAGUAUGGACAAUUGGACAGGCUGAGAACUGAAUAUAUAGAUCUUUAAGCUUGCUUAGCAGUUUUUUCUUUUAUAUUUUUGUUCAGGAGGGCUACCACACAUACCGUGGAGGAUUUUGGAAUUACUUUAGUAUGGGUAAGAGUUCCUCUGGUAUCCAAGGCACAGCAUGAUGUUUUUUUUUUUUUUUGGUUUAUGCUAGUUCUUGCUCUAACAGAUAUCAAACAGUCACCGUUGUUAUCCAGUACCUUUUAAUCAGGACUUGUUAACAAUAUUAUCGUAGAACAUAUUUUAGUAUCUUUUAAGCAUAUCAUGAUUAAUAAGGCAGUAAUAGAAACAUGGUCAUCAUGACUUCACAUACUGCAGGGAUGGAUGCACAAGUGUCUUACGAAUUUCACUCUGAGAGGAAGAGAAAUCCCGAGAAGUUCAAGAACCAGCUAACAAAUCAGGUUCUUCUCGUUUCUGUAGGGCAAGUCUUGUGGCACAUUUCAUUUUGUUUAUGCUGAAUGUUGUGAUGCAUUUCUUUGAUGCAGAGUACAUAUGCUAAGCUUGGACUUAAACAAGGAUGGUUUGCUGCUUCACUAACUCACCCAUCCUCGAGGUAGCCUGUCACUAAUGCAACCAUGAUGCCCCUGAUAUUGAUCAAAUUAUCCUCAUUGAUCGGUGUUAGCAUUUCAAGUACCACGCUUAGCUAUUAUAUGCCUUUACGUCGGAUAUGCAUGACGUGUACAGCUCCCAUUUUCAGGAACAUUGCUCAACUUGCAAAGGUGCGGAUCAUGAAAAGACCUGGUGGCCAAUGGGAAGAGCUUAAGAUUCCUCGCAGGUAAAUAAAUCCUUGCUUCCUUUGCAGUGUAUUUGUACAAGGCAAUUUCCAUUUUGCUUCAUCUAAAAUGUCUGGUUCUUCCAAAAUCCCAACCCCAUUUUCCAUCUCCAAGUUUCUUAGACACAUUUCUAGAAUGUUAUCAUCACCACAGAAUGUAGCUAUGAAAAUCAACAUAUAUUCCCUCUAUUGUUUCAGCAUUCGAUCAAUCGUCUGUCUGAAUCUGCCAAGUUUUUCUGGAGGACUGAAUCCUUGGGGAACACCUGGCACCAGGAAAGUACAAGAUGUAAGUAGAGCACUUGCCUCUUCUGUUGUCGUUUCACUCCUAAUGGCUUUGCCAUGGGCAAAGAAUUUAUAAGUUUUCAUGGCAAUAUGCAGAGAGACCUGACUGCACCAUUUGUCGACGACGGCCUUAUCGAGGUUGUCGGCUUUCGCGAUGCCUGGCACGGUCUUGUCUUGCUUGCCCCUAAUGGCCAUGGAACUCGUCUAGCACAGGUGAUGCAUCUGUUCUCAACCCAUUUCCUGAACUCCCUACAUUUCAGCUAGCAUUGCUGAUGCAGUCACACAUUUCACAUUUUUCAGGCCCAUAGAAUCCGGUUCGAGUUCCACAAAGGAGCAGCCGAGCACACGUUCAUGAGGAUCGAUGGGGAGCCAUGGAAGCAGCCUCUUCCCAAGGACGAUGACACCGUGGUCGUCGAGAUCUCUCACCUCCGUCAGGUCACCAUGCUCGCCAGCGACCCGUGCAAGUCGAAGAGCGUCAACGACCCCUCGUCGCCGAUGUGCUGUAGCAACCACGACGACGACGAGCGCAACAGCUUGGAGGACGAAGAUGAGUGGGAGGAGGGGAGGAAGAAGUUUGGUGCAGCUGAUACGUUCAAGUUCCCUGAUGAGGUUGAUGUUGCUCACCUUAGCUGAGCUAUAAGUGAUUCAGAGUUCAGAUUUCAGAAUGUUCGCUACUACUGUUAGCGAUACUGCCUUUUUGGGGGUUUAUAUAUACUACUAGUUUAUUAGUUAUCAGCCCUGUGUAGAUUCGACCGGCUGUAUUCGAGAACUGCAAAAUUUUCCGAGUAAUGUCAUAUUUUCAUGCAACGCAAUUGGUCUAUUCCCAGAAAAUCAUGUCCCAAAACAAACUUCUUGUCCUGAACCCUCUGUAUAGGUUUGCUAGCGUAAAUUACUCAUUUUUUGCGGGGAAGUGUAAAUUACUCAUGUCAAGCUGCUUUUUACUUGAAAAAACGGUCCAUUUUACUUACCCGAACUUGUUCACUUAACAUUUAAACUAUUUGUUUUCUCAUUUUACCCCCCUUAAAUUAUUAAAAACUAGCUGGGUGGCCCGUGCAAUUGCACGGCUAGCACCCAUAUAAAAUUAUAUAUUUUUAAUAUGAUUUUACUUAAAAUUUAUUAAAUAGUUAUUUCGAUGUCUUAAGAUUUUGAAAAACCAAACCUUAUCAUCCUCGUGUUUCUAAUUUUAUAGUUUUUAAAAGUCACACCAGUUGCUACCCCUUACUUCUAUCAUAUUAUUCUUUAUUAGUUUGCUUGAUCUACCACUUGAUCUACCACUGUUUCUAUUUAUUCUCCUUGGAACCUUUAAAAAUUGGAUCUAAACUAUAGAGUUUAUCGUCCUGUUAGGCUUCAUUUUUAUAAUUUCUAUAAGUCCCGUCAAACGUUACCAUUAUACUCCUCUACAACCGUCCACUACAUACCUUAUCAUUCUCGUGUUUCUAAUGCUAUAGUUUUUAAAAGUCACACCAGUUACUACCCCUUACUUCUGUCAUAUUAUUCUUUAUUAGCUUACUCGAUCUACCAAUGUUUCUAUUCAUUCUCCUUGGAGCUUUUAAAAAUUAGAUCUAAAAACUAUAAAGUUUAUUGUCAUGUUAGGCUUCUUUUUUAUAAUUUCUACAAGUCCCGUCAAAAGCUGCCAUUAUACUCCUCUACAACCAUCCACUGCAUGUUCUUUUUAUUGUCGUUGCUAUUUUUAAAAUCGAACAUAAUUAUCGUUUAGGUUCAUUUUUUUACUUUUUAGAAGUUCCGUCAAAACGUUAGCGACUUUGUCACUGUACUCCUAUACGGCUCGCCCGCUGCCACUCUUAUUUAUUAUCAUUGAGAUUUAAAAAUCAAACAUGAUUAUCAUUGAGGUUUUUUAUUUUUACUUUUUGAAGCCCGAACCUUUAAAAAUUUAACCUUAUAGUUUUUAAAGUUUAUUGUCUCGUUGGGUUUCAUGUUUUUUUUAUAAUUUUUAGAAAUCCCGUCAAACGCUACCACCAUACUUCUCUACGACCCGUCCGCCGCAUACUCUUUAUUGUAAUUGGGAUUAUAAAAAUCUAACAUAACUAUCGUUGGAAUUCAUUUUUUUACUUUCUAAAAGACCCACCAACCAUCGGCGGGUCUGCCAUUGUACUCCUAUACGACCCUCCCGCCGCCUCUCAUUUUUAUUGUAAUUAAGAUUUUAAAAAUCAAAUAUGAUUAUCAUUGGGGUUUAUUUUUUUACUUUCUUGAAGUCAUCGCCAACCGCCUUGAAUCGAUUGCUUCACGACCUGCCAGUCGUCUUUCCUUUUAAUCGUCAUUAGGAUUCUAUUUGGUGUUUUAUUAAUAGUUUUAGAUGUCUCAUCAACAGCCACCACUCUGCUCCUCUAGAGGUCUGUUACUUAAAUAAUCUUGUCAUUUGUUUUAGAUGGUAUUUUCUUUCAAUAGUUUUUUAUCACUAAUUUUAGUUAUUUAUAAAUUGUAUUCCCAGUUGAAAUCUUAUUUUUAUUUUUCUAAUUUUAGAAUUUAUUUUAUUUUUUGAAUUGUGUUCUUUUGAUAUUUUUAUUUUUUUUAUUUUCAAUUUCAGUUGUUUCAAAACUAUAUUCCUACUUUAACUCUAUUUUUAAUUUUCCUAAUUUUGGAUUUAUAUUAUUUUUUAUUCCGAAUUUUAAUUAAUCUACUAUUGGGUUCUUAUAUGUAGUCAUGAAAUAAUGCUUAUAUUUAAAUUCCGAAUUUAAGUUAAUGUUAAAUUAUAUUCCUACUUGAACUCUUAUUUUCUUUUCUUUUUUUUAAUUUCAAUUUUUUAUUCCGAAUUUUAAUUAAUUUUGUAUUGGAUUCUUGUAUGGACUCUUCUUUCAAUAUUCUUUAUUUUUAAUUCCAAAUUUCAGUUAUUUUUAAAUUGUAUUUCUACUCGAACUUUUAUUUUUUACUCUUUCUAUUUUCAAAAUUUAUUUUAUUUUUAUUCCGAAUUUUAAUUAAUCAUGUAUUAGGUUCCUAUCUAGACUCCUCUUUCAAUAUUGUAUAUUUUUAAUUCCGAAUUUCAGUUAUUUUUAUAUUGUAUUUCUACUUAGACUCUUCUUUUUUUUCUCCGUAUUAAUUAAGGAGGCAGUAUUGUUCUAAUUUUUACAUGGACAUGAGUUCGUUUUUAAGGAACGCAAGCUGUGGAUCAAUACAUUAAUUUUAAUAUGAGAAAAAGUUCAAAUACUUCAUAUAGACAAAACGAAUUUAAAUAUCCCGGUUAGAAAUAAACUUUUCCUUUUCAGAUUGGUUGGUUUCACAUAUAUGUACAGGCCGUUUAUUUAGUCGUAUUGAUCUCGAACUCUUUUUUUACUCUGAUUCCUAAGUACGUUUCUCCUUUUUACUCCGAUUCCUAUUUCUAGUAUGUUUCUUUAAGCUUCCGUGGAAAGAUUUCUAUUAGCUGUACAACUCUGAUAUCUUUAUCUAUUAGAUCUGAGGUGCUAAAAUCUAGAUAUACUAUGAUCUAACGGUUAAUAUUUUUCUCCUUUCCUCCGAUUAAUGUGGGAAUUUUUAGCCUCCACAGCGAACGUGGUGCUUUCUUUUAAGGCUGUUUUAAUAAUAUAAUAGAAGAUAGAUGGUUCACUCUAAAAGCAUUUGCCUUAUUUGUUUCUCUUUAUACGAGUUGUAUUUUAGAUUGAAAUUUUAUAUAGCCAUAGACAACACGAUUAUUAAAGUUCAUUUUUUAAAAAAAUAAGUUCAUGACUAUUUGUUUGAAAUUUAAAACCUCGAUGUUUAAAUCAGGUUUAGUGCUUCGAAUAUAUAUACAAUGAUAAAAAAUUAUGAAAAAUGUUGAUAGGUAGGCUAUAUUGUAUCUAUUAAUCCUACCAAAUUUUAUUGAGAAACAUGACUUACGUAGGGAAAAAAAAAGAAGCAAUAUCAUUAGAGAGGAAGGUGACCUGUUUUUAAUAGUUCAAAGUGUAAAAUAAGAAAAAAAAAGGUUUAAGAUGUUGAGUGAAGCAAUGAAAUAGUUUACGGAGUAAAACGGAUUUUUUUUUGUUUUUACUUUUAGAACUAUAUCACGAGUUUUAUCUUCUGUGAAAAUAUCUUUCGCUGUGUAUCUCGGAAAGUACAAAAGAACAAUUAUUGAUCAACUAAUGUACACGUCCCAGAUGGCACCUAUAAGUAGAGUAGUAGUAAUAAGAUAAUGAUCGGCGACGCGCGAAACGGGUUCUAGACUUUUCUUCACCCGCGCGGAGCUUAAGCUAACGCCCGCCGUUUCGUCGUCAUCAUCAGAAGAAGAUAACUAUCGCACGCCAGCGAAAGCGAAACCCGUGUGCCGGUUAGCGGCUAAGCGCGCUCCCCGCCCACCAGAAGCCGAGCUUCCCAGCGGCCAUCGCCUUCCUCUCCUCUCCGCAUAUAUAAACCCCCCACGUCUCCUCCUCCUCCACGUCAAACCACAAUCCAACCAAAGCAAAGCAAAGGAGAGAGAUCCCGGAGAAGAAGUUUGCGUGCAAGGCGAUCGAUCCAUGAGCCUGAGGCACAUGAGCCGAGUGGGCGCGCGCGCGGCGCAGGCCGUGCGGGAGGGCGCGGGGAGGUCGGUGAAGGACAAGGCGCAGUCGGCGACGACGUCGACGUCGUCGGCGGCGGCGAGGAGCAGCGGCGGCGGCAGCAGGGCACCCGCCGCGGGGUCGGUGGAGAAGGGCAGGGUGAGCGCGGCGGCGGCGGCGAGGGCGGCGGAGGAGAAGCGGAGGCGGGCGGAGCAGUCGCUGCGCACCGUCAUGUUCCUCUCCGUCUGGGGUCCCAACACCUGAUGAAGACUAGUACUAGUAGAUGUGUAGGCUAGCGAUAGCUUAUCUGCAUACGGUGGUGUGAAGGUUUUGUUCUGCGUCUGUGAAAAUCUCAGAUGUGAAUGAAGAUGUAAUUAAGUAUGUGAAUCAUCGUCUAUGGAUGCCGAAAAUACUGUUUAUUCUUGGAUCUCGCUUGUGUUGUUAAUCCUUCUUUGUUGACUUCUUGUUAAUACUGUCUGUCUGUUCAUCUAUGGUACAGAAAAUACUAGUACUGUUUAUUCUUGUACCUCGGUUGUGUUGUUAAGCCUCUUCUCUUUGUUGUAAAUACUGUUAGUCAGUCUGUCUGUGUAUACACUUCCUGUAGUGAUUUUUCUGAAGAUCAUUGUGCUCUCUUCUGCAAGUACUGGAUCAAUUAUCUGAAGAUUGUUUUGCUCUCCCCUCUUCUACAAGUAGUGAAUCAUUUUCCCGUCUUCUCGGCUUCUCCAGGGUGGACUGAUUCCAUUUUGACAUUUUUUACUACCAAUCUUGAAAUUUCAGUAUGCUGCAUGUACCCUUUUCGUCCUUCUGUAUGUUCUGCAAAAAAAGACAGAAAGAAGGGGGAAAAGAGGAUGAUUUUUGGCAGUGGAUGUUGCAGUGUUUCACAUAAUCCGAGCAAAAAGAACAUCUUAGCUCCUUAGAGCGAAGAAUGUUAAGAGAAAUCCUAAAUAGAGCCAUGCAUACAUUCCUAAGUUCAGAAAAUGAAAUUGGCUAAACAAAAUUUCAGAAAAGGAACAGUACUUCACUAUUUCAUAGCAUCUUGCAGAAUACAAUACCGUCAAAAUUUCACAGAUUCUACCAUCUUACAAAAGGAAACGAACAUAAGGCACAAAUCACACUAGUCACUCUGCUCAACUGAUGUCACAGCACUACAGCAGCAACAGAAGCAUCGCGGCUAACUGGGUCCCCAGCACACGAGCUGCAUCACAUUCUCGGACUUCUCCCUGCGCCGCCGCCUCAUCCUCUCCGCCACGGCCGCCUUCUCCGCCGGCUCAGCCACGCCACCGGAGAGCCGCUUCGCCUGCUGCCGCUGAGCCGUGCCUGGCGCCACCGCCGAUGGCUUCGCCGCUGGCACCGGCUUGGCCACCGCAGGCGCCGGCUGCCUCGCGGCCCUCAUGGCCUGCGCCGCCGCUCUCAGCAACACCCUGCUCGCGUACCUCAGGCUCAUCGGUCGAUGGAUCGAUCGCUCAAACUCAGAGAUUAAUCUUUACCACCUUUGAAGUUUCUUGCACGUACAAAGCUUAAUGCUGGUAAGCGUAUAUAUACAGGGAGAGCAUAGUGAUAUUCCGUCGUGUUCCAAAACCAUCGGUUUUGAUGCUGGAUUGGCGGCUGUAUUCAACCAACUAUUCACUGCACCUGCUCCUGACCGUGUUUUUCUUUUUCCGGUGUGCGCCAGUAUGUGGGAUGUGUUGUGCGCUCUCGUCACUGCGAGUAGUGGUAUUCCAUCAACUGAAUUUUCAGUUGCAAUUUGUCGCUAAGGACAAAACGGAAUGGUAACUGAAUCCAAAAGGGAGCAGGAAAGCGCGAUGUAUCGGAGGAGACGUAGCACACAGAGGGGAGGGAUAUAUGAAUUCUGAACUCUGAAGAAAUGGGGAUGGAUGGGGACAUUUUCAGUAUUAUCGUGUACUUUUUGGAGGUGUUGGAGUAAAGCGUCGUGCAUGAGAGUACUUCUUCCCUGUUGUGCCACUUGAAGGUUGCAGCACACAGGUAGCAUUGGAAUAUGGUGGAUGGGAAGUGGUAUCGAUGGCGACAUUUUUUCCGGGUAUUUUGUUGGUUUCAGGAUCCAUCUUGUGCGAGACAAAAGUCGAUUUUGGAUUAGAACAAAUUGAUUAAAGCCGUGCACAGUGUUGCUGAACCGCUAAAGGAUACUCAAUUAUCUAUCCUACCAACCACCAAUGCAAGGAAAGGAUCACUUCGAAAAACAAGUGAGCAACGACCAUCAGGCGAAUUCCUUUUCUGCCUGAAGAAUGAGCUUUUUCCUCGUCAUACUGGUUGACGGAUGACUCAUCUGAUGGCGUUAGUUCACUUGAUACUGAAGAAUUCUUUGGUCUGCUGCUAAUCUGAUGCACGCCUGGAGGAUGGGAGGAAAACGGGUUCAGAUUCUGAGUUUAUUCCAGAUUCAUCAAGGCAAGUUCCAACUUUCAAGCGAAGUGACAAUGCGUCGUCUGGAUGGCCAAACACAAAGGACAGGAGAAACAGAAUUGUGCAUAACCAAAGCUCUUGAUUAGUUGCCAUAUCAUAUAUAUCGUAUAUAUACAUCUUGUGCAAAACUCGUCUGCAUAUACAAGCAGUUCCAUCUUGCAAGCACCAAAACCAAUCUAACCACCUAACACGAUCCUAAUCUGACUGAUCAGCUCAGUAACAAUUAGUUGUUUGGGCCCCAGUUGCUGAGGUACAUGACCGUCCUCAGCUCCUCCUCUUGCUGCUGGGCUUUCCUCCUCGCCGCCGCCGCCGCUGCAGGCUGCAGCGCACGCGCGCCGCCGCCGCUCUUGGCGCCGCUCGUCCCGGCCACGGCCUGCUGCCUGCCGCGCUGCUGGAGCGUCCGGAACGCGUAGUUCCAGCGGCACAGUCCGGCCUGGUCCUUGAGCGCCUCCACCGUGCCCACGCUCAUCGCCGCCGCCCACGACGACGCCUUCGCCUUCCCUCCGCCGCUCGCCAUGUGUUUGUUGCACUUGUACGAACGAUCUGUACGUGUGUUUGUGUGAGCUCUGCACGCUCAGAUGAUGCUCUUGUUUGUGUUUGGGUGUGUGUUGCCUUCUGCCGGAAUGGUGGUGGCGCGGAGCCGUGGUUUUAUAGGGGAGAGACCAAGCUCGCGCGACCCGAUUAGUGAUCGCUAGAGCGCGAGCCGUCGCUGCCGGUGGCGUGGCGUGGCGUGGGCGUACGCGCGGUUUUGGACUCGUGCGGGUGAAUCGGUGGGGGGCUCCCAGAAAACCGGGUGCAGAAUUGCGUGGCUCUGGUUGGCCGCGCUCUUGCUCGCGCGCGGAACGAGGUUUGCAAAUUGCGGCGCGUACGGUGUGCUUCUUGUGGUUGUGGUUGUGGGCGUCCGUGUGCUAUAGCCUAUAGCUAGCUGGCCACUUGCCGUGACGUUUGCCAUCGUCUCGUCUCCGGCCGCCUGCCGUGCCCGGUUGAAAUUCUGGUGCCGAACGAGACCAGGGCGUGUGCCGCCGUUAUUAUGUACUGGACUAUGGUACGGACUAAGGAGUCCAAAUACUCGGUUUUUGUUUAAGAAAGUGGAAUAAUACCCGUCAUUUAGAAAGUUGGUAUUCUACAAUGGAGUUCUUCCAUUGGCUAGCAGGGAAGUAGAUGCGCAGGUGCAAUGUAUAAUUGUGUAGAGGUGAACUGUUUUCGUUUUUUCUGGGGGUGAUCCACAUGUCUGCAAGUCAAAAAGUAGACUAGAUUUUGUGUUGUUUGAUCUUUUCUGGUCUAAAGAGUUUAAUUUGCGUUAUGUACUGCUUCAUGUCAGUAAGUGGUUUAUUGUAUCUCCAAUGGUUUUGACAAAAGCACAUGUGUUGCGACCAAAGCAGGUCUAAUACAGCAUAUACACUGCACAGGGAACUUCUCUUAUUUCAAAUAACUGCCGACUCUUGUUUCAUUCUCUCUAGUCACUAUUAUCUCAAAUCUCUAUGCAGGUACACUAUAAUUUUAAAGAAGUAAGUAAGUACCGCUGUCUCCCUUGCAGCACACAGGAUGAUAAGGAUCUGCCAUAUACUACUAAUCUAAUCCGUUCAAAGCAAUACUACUAAUCUUUUCAUCAAAAAAAAUAAUACUACUAAUCUGAGGCCUGAGGCAUCUUGUGAUCUUCUUACCUUCUUGGUGAGCAAUAAACUAUAUGGAUGAUGGAUCGUUUCUUUGCCGGCACUGACUCACAUCACAUGCGUUAGGUGCAGAUUAUUGUUACUAGUAACAAAUUAGUACCACAUGUUCUUUCCGGUGACGGUGAACGCGGAGUUAUGGGAGGCGGGCAGGGGGAAUCCAGGGGCUGGACAGCAUGGUUUCCAGUAUACCAGGUGCUGCAUUCUGCUGCACCCAGCGUUUUGCUGACGAUGCUGACCGCAUGCGUGCUAAGAUGCAGACAAACACACCACUAGAAGCCACCUGCCUGGUGCUUAAUUACUUCAAACUAGCAUGGUGGCCUCCAAAAGCAUCAUUCUAUUUUCUCUCAUAUAAUAGCAUAUAUGUUUUCUUAAUAUAUUAUUCAAAUAUAUUAAAAUGACAACAUAAUUUUAAAUUUUAUAAUAACUUUACAAAACUACUAAUGUGUAAUAUUCAUAUUGUAUUUUAUAUACGUGUUAGUUAUUAAUUAUUUUUAAUAUCAAAUUUUAGUUAUUUGAAAAUUAUAUAUAUUCCUAUAUGGACUCUAGACUCAUCUUUUAAUAUUUCUUUUUUUAAAUUCCGAACUUUUUGUAAAUUGUAUUUAUAUAUAUACUCUAUGCUCUUCUUCCUAUAUUAUUUAUUUUUAUUUCUGAAUUUUUAUUAUUUCUAAUUGUAUUUCUAUGUGGACUCUAAACUCAUCUUUCAAUAUUCUUUAAUUUUUAAUUUCGAAUUUCAGUUACUUCUAAAUUGUAUUCCUAUAUUGACUUUAAACUCUUCUUCACAUGUUUUUCUUAAUCUCGAAUUUUAGUUAUUUGUAAAUUAUAUUUUUAUAUGGACUCUAAACUCUACUUUUAAUUUUAUUAUGUUUAUUCCAAAUUUUAAUUAGUUUUAAAUUCCUAUAUGGACUCUAUACUCUACUUCUAAUAUUCCUUAUUUGUUUAAUUCCGAAUUUCUAUUUUUUUUCUUAAUUGUAUUUAUAUAUGUACUCUAUACUCUACUUCUAAUAUUCCUUAUUUUUAAUUCCGAAUUUCUAUUAUUUUCUAAUUGUAUUUCUAUAUGAACUCUAUACUCUACUUCUAAUAUUCCUUAUUUUUAAUUCUGAAUUUCAGUUAUUUCCUAAUUGUAUUUCUAUAUAGACUCUAGUCUCCUCUUUUGAUAUUCCCUAUUUUUUAAUUUCGAAUUUCAGCUAUUUCUCAAUUAUAUUUCUAUAUGGACUCUAGUCUCCUUUUCUAAUAUUCCUUAUUUUUUAAUUCCGAAUUUCAACUAUUUCUAAAUUGUAUUUCUAUAUGGACUCUAGUCUCCUUUUCUAAUAUCCAUUAUUUUUCAAUUCCGAAUUUCAACUAUUUCUAAAUUGUAUUUCUAUAUGGACUCUGCCUUUUCUUUUUCUCCGAUUAAUGUGAGAAUUUUUAGACCAUAAGAGCGAACGUGGAGGCUCCUUUUUCUAUUCUUUUAAUAAUAUAAUAGAUAACUUUAGGCCUCUUUUGGCUUUAGAGUUUAGAACAGAUAAAUGUUAUAGGAUUCAUAUCUUUUUAUAGCGUUAUUUGGAACAAAUGAUUGGACAUACACCUUAUCAUUAAGAACCCCCGAUGAAUUGAGCCGAUAAAUUUUAAGAUUAACGAAAUCAUCACAAACAUCUGAAUGUCAAGUGCUAUAUCACCUGCUCCCUCCGUCUCAAAAUAUAACAAUUUUUAGCUAUCAGGAUUUAUCCUAACAUAUAACAACUUCUCCAUCAAUACUCUCUUUCCAACCAAUCAUAACCAUCCACCAUUCACUUUUUCCGUCUAACUUCACUACUCAUUCAGUCACAAUCCUCCACCAUUCCCUUCAACCUACCCUCUCUGUCCCAAAAAAACGAAUUUAGAACUGGAUGUGACACAUCAUAGUACUAUAAAAUCUGGACAUACAUUUGUCCAGAUUCGUUGUAUUAGAAUAUGUCACAUCCAGUACUAUGUUUCAUGAGACGGAGAGAGUACUUUUUUAAUAACCAUGUCUAACUCUAAAACUUCUUAUAUUCUGGGAGAGUAACACUAAAAUAAUUAGCCAUAAAUGUAAGUAUUAGAGGAAGUUUAACAUACGGUCCAAUCUUAUCAGAACAUUUAUGUGAACUUUUUUCACGUUACAUCAAACGGUUAUUUCUCUAAUUUUUUUUCUUCUUCUUGUUUUACAAUCAUAUGUUUUGUUAUUGCAUUUAUCGAUUUUUGUUAUAUCUAUGUUUUCUCGUUCGUGCAUUCCACAAUACUUAUAUAUAUUGCAUGCCGUAAGCUAGAGACAAUGGUCAUACACAUUUUUACUAUAUUCGGAUGGAGAUUUACAAAUAAACUUGAAUAAAUGCUUCUAUAUUUUAUGUUGGUAUUAUUAGUUAGGGACAAUUAGUUAUUGUUUAGAUCUUUAAUGUUUUUUAUGCUCUCCAUUCAGUGAAUUAUGUAGAGCGGCUGUAGCUCUUUUAAGCAAAGGUUGAGAAUCUUUCCAUUCUCUUAAAAAAAUUCCAUACCAAAUUGAAUUGAAUUACAGAUCUGACUAUCAUUCAGUAACAAGUGGUAAGUAUUAAGUACAAACUAGAUUGCUACCAUUUCUUCCAUCAUUUCGAUCAUAAAUUUUACGGUGCAGUAUCAAAAGAACAGAACACCUUUCUCCCAGAAAGUUUGGAUCUUAAAUUGAUGACACGGCCGGAUUUUUGCGUGCAUGACCGUAAAAGUGGUCAGUUCAUAAAUUGUUCUAGACGACACAAUCACAAAGGCAAAAUGACCCAUGAAGCAAUUGUACUCAAGUAGCAGAAUUUUUCAUCAUCAUCGUGAUAUAUUACGAUCAGCUGGGAGCAACCGGCCAAUUACGUCUCCGGCCAUGGCUGCUACCGUCAAACGGACACCCAGCAGAGCAGAUCGAGAUCCAUCCGAGCUAACACUAAUGGCCUAGCUAAUUGGGACCCCAGCAGCUGAGGUACAUGACUGUCCUCAACCCCUCCUCGGCCUUCUCCGCUCUCCUCCUCUCCGCCACCGCCGCCGCAGAAGCUGGCAGCUUCUUGCCCUGCGAGACGCCGGCGGCGUUGGCCUUGGCCGCCUUGUGGAUGGACCGCAGCGCGUAGUUCCAGCGGCAGAGUCCGCCCUGGUCCUUGAGCGCCUCCACGGCGCCCACGCUCAUCGCCACCAUCCACGACGCCUUCGCUGCACCCGCCAUUGAAGGUUGAUGACUUGAUUCACUGGUGAUCUGUGGAAAUUUUCCUCGCUUGCAGUGGACUCGUUGUACUGUAGUGGGUUGAUGCUGUGUUGGUUAAGUUGAGGAGAGCGGGUGGGGGGUGGUGCGGUCUUUUAUACUGGAGUGGCCUGGCGAAACAGGCGGCGGGCGCGCGUUGGUUUUUCCGGGAUACCGGUGGUUCCACUGCUUAGCUGUGGCGCUGCACGCACUCGUCGCUUUCCGCGCGGGUUGGUGGCUGGCUGUGGCUCAUCACACGCCCGGCGCCCACCUCGUCUCGUCCUGGUUGGUUGUUUGCGGCAUGGUGGAGGCUGGGGAUGAGUUGGAGUUGGCCCGCUGCGUGCGGCUGGCCCACGCGUGCAGUGAUAGGAUAGGAGUAGCGGAGUAGUGGAUCCCACGAUGGUACGUGCCACUUCCAUGUGGGUCCCACGAAGCAGUGGAAAAAUCGCGGAUCUACGGGGAGUCCAUGAGCUUGUCAAUUUAGCAGCACAUUUCUUUUUUUUUUCCUUUUUUUUUUCAUAAGUAAAGUCCUUAAUUUCUCGUUUGAGUAAGUGUUUGUUUGACACGACUCCACUCUAGCUAUAUCUUUCCUGAGGUUAGAACUCAACCAAACGAUUUCAGCUUAAAAAAAAUUGGAGUGGAUCUAUUAGAGGGCUAUCAUAAAAUGAAUUACGCAUAUUAUUGUAAGUUCGUAGGGACUAACCAAGUUAUUAUACCGAAAUAAUAAAUUUACAAUUUAGUAUAUCUAUUUACACUCACCACGUAAAUUCAUGUACAGUAAGCAUAAUUUACUUGUCGUAGCACACAGGUUUUCGCAAGUACUUGCUACUAGAGUACUGGGGCUUCUAAUGUAGGCUGGCUCGUCCUAGAAGACUGGAGUUUUAGCGAGCGUCCGAGCGAUUGCUUCUUUUUCCUGCACUAGACUCACAUCAGUGUUGCACGCGUUCAACAGACUGCAUGUCGUCGAAUUGGGAAGCGUAUUAUGAUCUGCUGCCUGCUGGUGACUCUGAGAGCGGAGUUAUGGGAGGUGGCAUGGAAAACCAGGGGCUGGAGGACAUGGUUUCCCAUAUACCGGGUGCGAGUACGCCAACAGAAAUGUUUAGGGGCCGUUUUGUUCAAUACUUCAACUUACCACACCAUACUUUAGGCUGCCACAUCUCCUUAGCCUUGUGUUUGGUUCAUUGCCAUAGUUAUGGCAAGUCAUACUUUCUUACCAUCUUACCCCACAUGUUAUAGACUGAAUUCUUUGUCUAACUUUGCCAUAAGUGUGGCUCAUAAUUUAUUAGCCACAAAAAGUGUGGCAAGCCACACUUGCCUAAAGUGAGGUAUAAAUGUUAGUUAAUAACCAAACAGCCCAACUUCACUCAGUGUCAUGGUCCGGGACUCUCCUGUCUCCUCCAAGGCUCCAGGCCCCACGCUUAAUUAGUAGCUUCAUUUAUACUAGUACUUCAUUAGUGCCGUUGUUACCAGAUUAUACUACUUUGAAGAACUUGUGGUUGUUCUUAGCAAUUUUAUUUGCCUUCCAUGGCCCCUUCGUAGCAAGUGUGUUGCAAUUCUGCCAAACGUGACCUUAAUUACUUCAAACUUCAAAGCAUCCAUAUCCCCAAGCUAACAUGGUAGCAAUUCGCAAAGGCAAAUGGUUCCAGGAGGACAGGAGGCAAUUGUACUCGAGUAACAGAAGUUAUCAUCAUCAUCUUGGUAUAUUACAAUCAGGAGGCAACCGGCCAAGUUCUUAGGCCAUGGCUGCUACUACAGACUCACUCCUAGCUAAUUAGAUCGUGCUAUAUACUAAUUGGUGUUAGACUUUGCUCUAGGAUCACCUAGGUUAGAUCUAGUCGGGUGGUUCUAUUUGGGUUUGAUGAACGACAGGGUAGAUGAAAGGGAGAGGGUUUAGAUACCGACCGGUUGAGGAGUUCGUGGAGGAAGAGGCGCCAGACAUCGUCGUUGUCGUCGCGGCUUGACGUGGAUGCGGCGCCGGUGAGGUCGACGGUGAUGACGGCUGCGGCAGUGGUGGUCGUAGACGUCCCGGCGAUGAGGCGUGGCGCGGCGGUGGCGUUUCCCGUCACUGGCUGCGCCCCCUCUCGAUCGGAUUAGGGUUUUGUGGGGUGGAGUUGGCGGCGGCGGCGAAUCUCGUACGAUGUGCCGUGCCGGCCUCCACCCCUCUUUUAUAUGGCGCAGUGUGACGGGGGCCCACCAGCCAUUGGGCUGGGCGCCCCCGAUCAGGGCGCGGUCAAGGCCCCCUUGAGCCGUUGGGCUCAAGGGGAGAGAGAUCUAUCUAACAUUCUCCCCCUUGAUCUCACUUUUUCUUUUAGCUUUUUCUAUUCCAUCACAGAUUGGUAAAUAGAGCAUGUUUCAUCGUCACGGUCAAUCGCCGAUGGAUUCGACAGGCACUAUACACAUCUCUAUUCAGAAACAGAUACUUUACUUUGGGCCCUGUAGUCCAGGAUUCAUAAGGCUUCCCUUAAACCCAUGCCGGCUAUAUGUUCCUUGAACACGUUGGGUGGUAGGCCUUUCGUGAGCGGAUCCGCGAGCAUCCUUUCUGUUUUAAUGUGCUCGAGACUGAUUGUUUGAUCCUGGACUUUGUCCUUCACAACAUAGUACUUUAUGUCAAUGUGUUUGGCAGCACCACUUGACUGAUUGUUGUGAGCGUACAUUACUGCGGGUUCGUUGUCGCAGUAUAACUUUAGUGGUUUCUCAAUACUGUCAACCACCUUUAAACCGGGUAUGAACUUCUUUAGCCAGUUCACCUGCCCCGUUGCCUCAUAGCAUGCUAUAAACUCGGCAUACAUAGUAGACCCUGCAGUGAUAGUCUGUUUUGAGCUUUUCCAUGAAAUAGCUCCUCCUGCCAGGGUAAACACGUAUCCCGAUGUUGACUUUGUAUUAUCUUUUGCAAAGUCAGAAUCUGAGUACCCCACUAUCUGGAGUGAUUCUGAUCUUCUGUAAGACAACAUGAGGCCUUUUGUUCCUUGCAAAUAACGCAAGACUUUCUUUACCAAUUUCCAGUGCUCUAGGCCUGGAUUACUCUGAAAUCUGCCAAGUAACCCGGUAACAAAUGCCAAGUCAGGUCGUGUGCACACUUGCGCGUACUGUAGGCUUCCUACAGCUGACGCAUAUGGCUUUGUUUUCAUUUCAUUGAGCUCAUACUGAUUUCUGGGACAUUGCGAUGCCCCAUACUUUUCGCCUUUCAUUAUAGGAGCAGGUGUAGCACUGCAUCUGUACAUGUUGAAUUUCUUCAACACCUUUUCUAUAUAUGUCUUUUGAGAAAGUCCCAAUGCAUACUUUGUUCUAUCUCGGUGAAUCUCUAUGCCCAAAACAUAUGAAGCCUCACCAAGGUCUUUCAUGUCAAAGUUUGAGGACAAGAAUUUCUUUGUUUCCUGCAGUAGACUGACAUCACUACUAGCCAGUAGAAUGUCAUCCACAUACAGAAUUAGGAAAAUAAAUCUCCCAUUCUUAAACUUUGAAUAAAUACAGUUGUCCUCGACAUUCUCUUGAAACCCAAAUUUCUUUAUUGUCCCAUCAAACUUCAAGUACUACUGUCUCGAAGCUUGCUUUAAUCCAUAAAUGGAUCUCUUUAGACGACAUCCCAUAUUUUCGUUUCCUUUCAUGACAAAACCUUUCGGUUGCGCCAUGUAUACUUUUUCCUCCAAAUCUCCAUUUAGAAAUGCCGUUUUUACAUCCAUCUGAUGUAAUUCCAAAUCAUAAUGUGCCACUAGUGCCAUUAUAAUCCUGAAGGAAUCUUUACAAGAGACUGGAGAAAAUGUCUCAUUGUAAUCAAUCCCUUCUCGUUGCGUGAAGCCUUUUGCCACAAGUCGCGCUUUAAACUUUUCUAUAUUCCCUCUGGAGUCAUAUUUGGUUUUGUAGACCCAUUUACAGCCUACUGUUUUGGCUCCUUUAGGAAUUUCUUCUAAAUCCCAAACAUCGUUUAGUUUCAUUGAUUUCAUUUCAUCUUUCAUGGCUUCCAACCAUUCAGAUGAGCGAGCGCUUCUCAUGGCCUCUUCAUAUGAGGUGGGAUCAUCCUCCAUAUGCGACUCUUCUAUAUUAUAAACUUUAUAGUCAUCACGGAUAGCCGAUCUUCUGACUCUUUCAGACCUUCUAGGGGCCUGCACAUUUGGCACAUCCUGUACCUGAGGCUCUUGAUGAGUCUCCUGUACUGGCACAUUAUCUAUUUGAGGCUGUUGUAGCUCCUCCUCUGGUGUGGCAACCAUUUCUGUUGAAUCCUGUAUAACAGGUUCCUCACUCUCAUUCAUUGUUGCCACAGGAGGGGUAACAACAGGUGCUUGUCGGUGAUAUGGGACCGGGAGUAUCAUGACUAGAGGCUUGAGGCAGACACAAUCGCCCACGUGGCCUGGCACCUUCGGGGACGUCGGGCCCGAGGGUGAGGUGUCCGCCCUCCUCCUGAUUUCCCCCGAGGGGGGGUCGGGUUGCGCUUGCCCCGGCCCCGAGGGCCGAGGCACCCCGACCCCCUUAAGGAAGUCUGCGCCACAUAUAUGGGAUAAGUGAGCACAGCUGUGCUCACCUAACAGCAUUUAUUGCAGUCUGGUCAAGCGUGUCACGCUGCAUGCAGCGCAGUACGGCGCGUUCCUUUAUCCGGUCUGUGACCAGUCACAGACCGGUCAGAUCACGGGUUAGGUGGCGACUGGCGGUCUGACGCACGCCUUACCCCAUCCCGUCAAGGUGUGAGCUUCUAAGCACUCGUCCCCAGCUGGAGCUAGCGUGUUACAUCCCAGAGAUGGCACGUUAACCCCGAUCGAUAUAUACCAGGCUUCAUCCUAACCAUUACAGGCAAGGUGUUACACAAGGAAGGGCAAACAUGCAUGUUGUUAAACUGACGCGUGGUGGACAAGAAUGACCGGUCUGGCACUGGUCGCGUCAGCAACGGGCAGCCACGAUCCCACGUUGCGCCUGUCUCCGCCGGGAGUGGAGGUAGGUGUGGGCUGUCCCAUCGGAGUGUCAUUCGGACAGCAACCAUACCAAUCUCCGUCCAUAAAGAGAAGAAAAGUCCAGUUUGGAAAGGGAAGGGUGCAUGUGGUAUCCCCUUGAAGUAUAAAAGGAGGACCUUGCCCAUAGAGAGGGGGGUUUUUUUUUAUUCUUUUCCAGAUUUAGAGCUUAGAACGGGGGAGAAGUUGGCUCACACUUUGUAGCUCAUUCAUACACAAAUCCACAAAAACACAGGAGUAGGGUAUUACGCUUCGCAGCGGCCCGAACCUGUAUACAUCGCCGUGUCUCGUGUGUCUUGCGGGCAGACGAUCUUUCCAGAUACAGAGGGAGAGCGAGAGCUUGAGAUUUCACCCUAAGCCCCCGGCCGAACUGGCAAAGGGGGGCCUGCGCGGUCUCCCGGUGAGGAGCCACGAGCUCCGUCAUCUGGCGCGCCAGGUAGGGGGCUCAGCGUGUGUUUUCUGAGCUCUCAGACUCUUCCGUGUGCGCCAAGUUUUUCUUGUUCAGCCUAAUGGCCGAGCAAGGAAAAGCGCACGACCUCUCUCCGAGUGUGAGCGGCGACGACGGGGAGCCGAAUCCACGCCGUCGAGCUCGUACUCCCCCACCUCCUCCGCGCCAAAGCCCUAAGCAGGGGGAGGCGCUUGAGAGGGUCGACAAAUCCGUGGCAUCACCAGUCGCAGGUGAUGCAGGAGAACGGCGAGAUGGGGAGCGUCGCCUCCUCGUCUACGGCGACGGCAGCACGCCUCAGGGUGCGCUUCAGGCUGCUGGCGCGCUCCUACGACACCCGCCUGUCGUCCAUGACCCGGAGUCUCCAGCCCAACGAUGGCUGGAAGACGUGGCCAACUUGGUCAUGACGGCACAGCAGCGCCUGGGUGCUGGUGGACGGUCCGCCACCACCAAGACCUCCGGCGCCGCUACCACCGGCUCCGUGUCAUCAAGGCGGAGGGCGCGGCGAGCGGCGGCGGCUGCACGUCAUUCGGCUGCCACUCCCUCGUCGACACCGUCGACUCGGGAGGAUCAGCAUGGGGAGCCGGAUGCCCGCCUCAACAUCGAGCGCCGGCGUAAUAGCCGGCGUACUCCCCGUGCAACGGAGGGCGCCUCCUCGUCCAGAGUGUCACCUCGACACGGACGUGAAGAUCAGCCCUCCGUGCCCCCGGCCGGUGGUGUUGGCUGUAGAGCCUUUGUGGCGAGUCUUCGGAAUGUCCGUUGGCCCCCAAGGUUCCGGCCCACCAUCACCGAGAAGUACGAUGGGAGCGUCAACCCCACCGAGUUUCUCCAGGUCUAUACGACCGGGAUCGAGGCCGCUGGGGGUGACGACAGGGUCAUGGCGAACUUCUUUCCCAUGGCCCUAAAAGGACAGGCGCGGGGUUGGCUAAUGAACCUGCCACCCGCGUCGGUCCACUCCUGGGAAGAUUUGUGCCAACAGUUCACCAUGAACUUCCAAGGCACAUAUCCGCGCCCAGGCGAAGAAGCGGACUUGCAUGCAGUACAGCGAGGCGAUGAUGAGUCGCUUCGCUCGUACAUUCAGCGGUUUUGCCAAGUCCGCAAUACUAUACCAUGCAUCCCUGCACACGCGGUGAUCUACGCGUUCAGGGGGGGUGUGCGGCACAACCGCAUGCUCGAAAAGAUUGCCUCCAAAGAGUCCCAGACUACCGCAGAGCUUUUUCAGCUCGCGGACCGAGUGGCUCGUAAGGAGGAGGCCUGGACCUGGAACUCCUCCGGUUCCGGAGUGGCAGCUUCGGCCGCCCCCGGAUCCGCCGCUCAGACAGGGCGGCGUGACAGGAGGAGGAAGAAGAGGCCGGACCGUUCCGGCGACGAGGGUCAUGUCCUCGCCGUCGAGGGCGCUCCGCGGGCCACUCGAAAGGGGAGGCCUGCGAGCGACAAAAAGAACGAGGCUGGUACACCCAGCAGGGAGCGCCUCGCCGGCAGGUGGUGCUCUGUCCACAACACCUCCCUCCAUGAUCUCGCGGACUGUCGUGCGGUCAAAAACCUGGCCGAGCGAACGAGGAAAUGGGAGGAGGACAGGAGGCAGGAACGCCGUGAGGGCAAGUCCCCGGCGGUUCCUUCCGGCAAACGGCGAAGUGAGGCCAAGCAGAAGGCCCCCGCUGUUGACAUCGAUGAUGGUGAUGAUGACCUAGGUUUCCAAGAACCUGGGGCCACCAUUGCCACCGUCGAUGGAGGAGCAUGUGCUCACGUCUCUCGCCGGAGCUUCAAGGCUAUGAAGCGAGAGCUUCUGGCCAUGGCCCCUACCCAUGAGGCGAUGCGUCGGGCGCGGUGGUCGGAGGUUGCUCUCACUUUCGACCAGACCGACCACCCACCGUGCAUUGCCCGGGGAGGGCAGGUUGCGAUGGCGGUUUCCCCCACCAUCUGCAACGUGAAGUUGGGACGUGUCCUCAUAGAUGGAGGAGCGGCUCUCAACAUCCUUUCCCCCGCGGCCUUUGAUGCUAUCAAGGCCCCGGGGAUGGUGCUCCAGCCGUCUCAACCGAUCAUCGGUGUGACGCCGGGGCACACGUGGCCAUUAGGUCACAUCGACCUACCGGUCACCUUCGGUGGACCCGCCAACUUCCGCACGGAGCGGGUGAGCUUCGAUGUGGCGGACCUCAGUCUGCCCUACAACGCGGUCCUAGGGAGACCCGCGUUGGUGAAGUUCAUGGCGGCGGUCCACUACGCCUACCUCCAGAUGAAGAUGCCGGGCCCCGGUGGCCCCAUCUCUGUCCGUGGCGACCUUAAAGUCGCGCUUGCUUGCAUGGAGCAGCGCGCGGACCGCCUCGCUGCUGCGUCCAAGCCCGAGGGUGGUGACGAGAGGCUUGGCCCCUCUGCCCCCACCGCCCCGAGGCAGCGGAUGGCCACAUGCGACGAGGUCCCGGUCAAGGAGGUUGCCUUGGGCGACGGCCCAUCCAAGACCACACGGAUCGGUGGUCUUCUGGAUGGCAAAUAGGAAGACGCGCUCGUCUCCUUCCUGCGGGCAAACGCUGACGUCUUCGCAUGGAGACCAGCGGAUAUGCCCGGGGUCCCCAGGGAGGUGAUUGAGCACCGUCUCGCCGUGCGGCCGGGCGCAAGGCCGGUCCGCCAGAAAGUGCGGCGGCAAGCCCCGGAACGUCAAGCCUUCAUCCGCGAGGAGGUGGCUAGACUUUUGGAGGCCGGGUUCAUCCGUGAGGUCAUCCAUCCGGAGUGGCUGGCGAACCCGGUGGUCGUUCCCAAGGCGAACGGCAAGCUUCGGAUGUGCAUCGACUACACCGACCUUAACAAGGCAUGUCCUAAGGAUCCUUACCCCCUGCCUCGCAUAGAUCAGAUCGUCGACUCCACUGCGGGGUGCGACCUUUUGUGUUUUCUAGAUGCAUACUCUGGUUACCAUCAGAUUCGCAUGGCUAGGGAGGAUGAGGAAAAAACUGCGUUCAUUACCCCCGUAGGAACCUAUUGUUAUACAUCAAUGCCCUUCGGGUUAAAGAAUGCAGGUCCUACUUUUCAGCGUACUACUCGAAUUUCUUUGGGUAGCCAAAUAGGACGUAAUGUUGAGGCGUAUGUCGAUGACUUGGUUGUAAAAACGCGCAACCAAGAGACCUUACUCUCAGAUCUAGCGGAAACUUUUGAGAACCUCCGCUCCGCCCGCAUAAAACUGAACCCCGAUAAGUGCGUGUUUGGUGUACCUGCGGGCAAGCUUCUCGGGUUUUUGGUCUCUGCCCGAGGCAUUGAGGCCAACCCCGAGAAGAUACGAGCUAUAGAGCGGAUCCGCCCCCCCAGCAAACUUAGGGAUGUGCAGUGCGUCACUGGUUGCAUGGCCGCCCUAAGUCGUUUCAUAUCAAGGCUGGGAGAGAAGGCGCUUCCCUUGUUUAAGCUCCUCAAGCGCUCGGGGCCGUUCACUUGGACGGAGGAAGCUGAACAUGCCCUUACUCAGUUAAAGGCAUAUCUCAGCUCUCCCCCGGUUCUAGUCGCCCCGGAGCCAAAUGAGCCCCUGCUACUUUACUUAGCGGCGACCCCCCAAGUAGUUAGUGCAGCGUUGGCUGUGGAGCGCGAUGAAGACAAUCCUCAUUCCGCGCACCCCCACCCUGUGCUGACUUGGCCCGGGAGCAAGCAGGGAGGAGAGGCCCCCGAGCCGAACGGUGGCCUAAGGCCCCUGACGACCGGAGUCGGCCCUCUCCCCGCUCGUCAGACGGUGCUGGGCGCCCCCGACCCUCAGGAAGGCCCCGAGGCCACUGCGGGGAGGCCGCACCUAUCGCCCUCUGACCCCGAGGCUAACCCUGUACCGAUUCGACCCGGGAGAGAGCAGGGAGAAGAGGCCCCCGAGCCGAACGGUGGCCUAAGGCCCCUGACGACCGGAGUUGGCCCUUUGCCCGCUUGUCCGAUGACGCCAGGAGCCCCCGACCCCCAGGACGGCCCCGAGGCCACUGUGGGAAGGCCGCUCCUGUCGUCCUCCGACCCCGAGGUCAUCGGCACAGAAGACGAGUGCGCCCCGAGGGGCCACUCGGACGAAGAACGCCCCGAGGGGCCACUCGGACGAAGAACGCCCCGAGGGGCCACUCGGACGAAGAACGCCCCUGUCUACUUUGUUAGUGAGGCCCUCCGGGACGCCAAGACCCGAUACCCACAGGCCCAGAAGAUGCUUUACGCUAUUCUGAUGGCCUCGAGGAAACUGCGCCAUUAUUUCCAGGCGCAUCGGAUCGCUGUGGUUACGUCUUACCCCCUCGGUCAAAUCUUGCAUAAUCGAGAGGGUACAGGACGAGUGGUAAAAUGGGCAAUCGAGCUUUCUGAGUUCGAUCUGCACUUUGAACCACGCCACGCUAUCAAGAGCCAGGCCCUCGCCGAUUUUGUGGCAGAGUGGACCCCGGCUCCAGAGACUGUCUCAAUACCCGAGGCCAGCACGAACCCCUCUCAGCUGCCUCACACCGCCCACUGGGUGAUGCAGUUCGACGGUUCUUUGUCUCUCCAGGGCGCCGGUGCAGGGGUCACGUUGACCUCUCCGAACGGAGACGUCCUCAGAUACUUGGUCCGUCUCGACUUUCGAGCGACCAAUAAUAUGGCAGAGUACGAGGGACUCCUUGCCGGACUCAGAGUGGCGGCCGGGCUGGGGAUCCGCCGCCUCCUGGUGUUAGGUGACUCUCAGCUGGUUGUUAACCAAGUCUGUAAGGAGUACCGGUGCUCUGAUCCGCAGAUGGACGCCUACGUGCGCCAAGUACGGCGUAUGGAGCGCCAUUUUGACGGGAUAGAGCUUCGGCAUGUGCCCAGACGGGAUAAUAUGAUUGCCGAUGAACUCUCAAGGCUCGCGUCCUCGCGAGCCCAGACCCCACCGGGCGCCUUUGAAGAAAGGCUUACUCAGCCGUCGGCGCGACCCGACCCCUUAGGGGAGACGGAUGCGCCUGACCGGCCCCCGAGGCCCGUCGGAGUCCAGGCCUCGGGACCCGAAGGGAGCGCUCCAAGCUCCUUUAGAUUGAUUGCUUGGAUCUCUGAGAUCCAAACAUACCUCGCAGAUAAGACUCUACCUGAGGACCGCGAAGGGAGUGAACGCGUACAACGCAUUUCCAAACGCUACGUGUUGGUAGAAGGGACCCUCUAUCGGCGCGCGGCUAACGGAAUCCUCCUGAAGUGCAUUCCUCAGGAACAAGGCGUUGAGCUUCUUGCUGACAUCCAUGAGGGCGAGUGCGGAGCCCAUUCCGCCUCGCGUACCCUGGUUGGCAAGGCCUUUCGUCAAGGAUUUUAUUGGCCGACAGCUCUCAAUGACGCAGUCGAUCUGGUCCGGCGAUGCAGAGCGUGUCAGUUUCACGCCAAGCAAAUCCAUCAGCCGGCCCAGGCCCUGCAGAUCAUACCACUGUCAUGGCCAUUUGCUGUCUGGGGGCUUGAUAUCCUGGGACCGUUCAAACGGGCCCCGGGCGGGUUUGAGUAUCUGUAUGUUGCGAUCGACAAGUUCACUAAGUGGCCCGAGGCUUAUCCGGUUGUCAAGAUCGAUAAGCACUCUGCUCUUAAAUUCAUUAAGGGCAUCACGGCCCGUUUUGGAGUGCCUAACCGUAUUAUUACGGAUAAUGGCACCCAAUUCACUAGUGAACUCUUCGGCGACUACUGCGAAGACAUGGGCAUCAAGCUCUGCUUCGCCUCACCUGCCCACCCCAGAAGCAAUGGCCAAGUGGAGCGCGCCAAUGCAGAAAUCCUUAAAGGCCUCAAAACCAAGACCUUCAACAUUCUCAAGAAGCACGGCGAUUCAUGGAUCGAGGAGUUGCCAGCGGUGCUCUGGGCGAACCGAACCACACCAAGCCGAGCGACCGGGGAAACGCCUUUCUUCCUCGUCUACGGCGCAGAAGCGGUUCUCCCAUCUGAGCUCACCCUGAGGUCUCCUCGGGCCACCAUGUACUGCGAGGCUGAUCAAGAUCAGCUUCGUAGAGAUGACCUCGACUACUUGGAAGAACGAAGGCGGCGCGCGGCCCUCCGAGCUGCGCGCUACCAGCAGAGCCUGCGGCGCUACCAUCAGCGCCACGUCCGGGCCCGAUCACUCUGCGUCGACGACCUCGUCCUACGCCGCGUCCAAACGCGUGCUGGAUUGAGCAAGCUCUCACCAAUGUGGGAGGGUCCGUAUCGAGUGAUCGGUGUCCCCCGGCCGGGCUCGGUACGGCUGGCCACGGGCGACGGCACGGAGCUGCCAAACCCGUGGAACAUCGAACACCUUCGUCGCUUCUACCCCUGAAAGGGGGGGGGUCGGGUGUCAGGUUUUGGCUCGGGCCAACCCCGCACCCCCCUCGGGUGUGCAGGAUUGGCCGGGGGCUACCACACAUGCACAUAUAUCCCUUUUUCCUUUAUUUCAGCAUUUCAAUAAAAGCAGUUUCAAUUUUCUAAAGGUUGUGUCUGUGCCGUUUUUUCCUUUUGAAGAAUCUUGACUUGAAAUAAUGUCACUCGUGCUCAACCUUGCCCUCGGGGGCUCGGUUCGGUCAGCUAAAAUCGCCAAACGGGGCCCAGAACCGAGCCGUGCCCCGGGGCGUGGUGAACUCCGGGGGGGAAUCGGCAAAAACCCACAAUCGGGUCACCCAUAACCCUCGGUCACCACGUUCCCGGCCUGGCCAGUCUCGACAUGCGGAUCUCCCCAGGCACUAGCCCCGACCCGCGCUUUUCGAGGACUGGGACUUGGGCACGGGCCCUUAUUUCAAGCUAAGACGCAAAAAGACCACGGCACAGAUCAUCCUCAUCUCAUAUAUAGCAAAAUAAAACUAACACAAAAAUUUUUUCAUCAUUUCUCAUUGCAGAUUAAGUUAAAUUGUACAAAAAAGAGGCAUGAAGGCCUUAGAAGAAAGAACAAGAAAAAAGUUAAGAUUGGCGGGGGCCUGGGGGCUCAUUCAAAUGCGCCCGGGUCGCCGGCCUCGUCGCCACCGUCGUCCUCGCCGCUGGCGUCGCCCUCCUCGUCGGAGCUGGGGGCGAACGCGAGCCGAGGGGCCGAGCCCUCGAAGCCGUUGACGAUGUGGUCAGCAGCAUCCCCGACGCGCGCGCGCGCGUCGUCCUCGGUCCCGGGAGGGAACUCCUCCAGCGCCAUCCAGGGAGAGAAAUUGGGGUCCCGGGCCUGGUAACUCGCUAGCACGAGUUCAACCGCCCCCCGGGCGAGGUCCCUCGAGGAUGACUUGAUGGUCUUCUCGAGCUCCUCGGGGAGUCGUUCGAGGACCCAGGCCAUCCUGUUGAGGUGCGGAGCGAGGCCUUCCAGAUUGGUGGGGGGCACCGUCGUCUGGCCUUUCCAGAGGCCUGCUUGCCGACCGGCGCGCUUCAUGCGGGAGACCGCAUCCCAAAGCAUGUCGGGCCCAAUCUCGCCCGCCAAGCGAAGGGCCUCGGCCUCCCCGGUGGAGGAGUCCAGCGCUCGCUGCAUUUCCGCGACGGUGUGUUCGGCAGCUGCGAGGCGGGCGGCUAAGUCGCUUUCGCCCGCGGCCGCCCCGCCGAUAGGCGCCCUUGCGUCCAGCUCCUUUUCCCGCGCCUCGAGGUCAGCAGCCCGCUGCUCCAGUGCGGCUCUCUCGGCGCGGACGCAUUCGAGAUUGCGGCGCGCCUGCUCCUCCUGCGCCGCCUCGCGAAGGGACAGGCUGUCCGCCAGCCGUUUGGUCGUGGCCUCAGCCUCCUCGAGAGCUCGCUCCCGCUCAGCGAGUGCGUCCUCGCGGAGGCGGAGCGCGCACUCCUCCUCGGCGCAGGCGGCCUCAUGCGCCGCCAGCGUCGCCUCUCGGAGACCAGCGGCGGCCUCGCGGUCCGUCAAGCCCCUCUCCACGGCGCCGGCGUGUUCUUCCAGCGCCAUGGCACGGGCCUCAAGGGCCUCCUCGCGCCGCCGAAACGCCGCUUCAGUCUCCGUUACCCGCCGCUCUCGGGCAGCGGCGGAGUCAAGGACCCCUUGGGCGGCGUCGAGCUUUUUCUUCAGCUCCGCCUCCCAGCUUGCGUGCUGAAGGCGGAGAGUGUCUUGCGCCUCGAUCAUCGCGGUGGUAGAGAUGAGGGCGGCCGCCCGCUCCUCCUCCACCUCACGGGCGAUCUCCGCCAGCGCCGCUUUCCGGGCUUCAAGCUCCGAGACAUGACGGCGGUGAGCCUUACGGCCCACCUCCACCAUGGCGUCCACCGAGCGCCGCCCCUCCUCAACACGCGCCCAUGCGGCCUCGAGCUCCGCUCGUUCUGCACGCAGGGCCUCCACUUGGGUGUUGAACCCAUCCAGCACUGCGGUGUUUGCGGCGGCCAGGGCCUGCAGAAGGGGCUCGGCGCUCAGCGGGGCGACAGAAGAUGAGGAGAAGAGCCGCCUUGGAGAAAAGGCGACGCGGCUUGGCCCCCCGGAGGAUGCGCUGGGCUCGGGGAUGUCCCCCGGGCCCGUUUGGUCCUGGGCGUCGCCCGGUGAGGUAGGCCCAGGCGAUGCGCCCGCGGCCUCGUCGCGAGCCGCCUCAGAGGAUGUCGCCUGAGGGCCGCCCGAGGGAGUAGGCCCAAGUGACGCGCCAGCAGCAGCUGUCGCCUCAGCCUGGCGAGCCCGGGCGGCCUCCUCCUGGGCAGCUUCUUCGGCUUGGCGAGCCCGGGCGGCCUCCUCCCGAGCAGCUUCCUCCGCUUGGCGAACCCGGGCGGCCUCCCGGGCGGCCUCUUCAGCUUCCCGAAGGCGGGCUGCGGCUUCACGCCGGUCAGACUCUCGCCUCCGCUCCUCUGCGGCCGCUGGAUCUUCGGCCUCGGACUGGCCGGAUUUGGGGUGGCGGGAGGAAUGCGACGGGACAUCGCUGAAGCAGAAGAAAAAACCAAAAGACGAACAAAAUGAGUAAGAAAAAACUUCUCUUUGGGAGAAAGGUGGUUGCAAUGAGAGUGAGACGAACCUGCGAGGGGGUCGGUUGAAUGGCCACCUUGGAGGAGAAAUCAGGUUCCCCCGGCAUGGUUCCGUCUCCCCCGUCUUGCGGAGCCGUUUCUUCUUGCGCUCCCCCUCGGGCUGCGACGUCGGCGCGGCCCCCUCCGGGCGCCGACUGCUGGCACGCGCCGCCCCGCCCCCUCGGGGAGGAGAUGGGGGAGGUGUUCCUCCCAGCUUCCUCUUCCCCUGGGCGUCGGCAGGGCGGCUGCUCCCCGAGCCCCCGGCGCGGGGCCCAGGAGCACGACUCCCUCCUGGGGCAGAUUGUUCCCCUCGGCGGCGCUCGCCCGCGCCAUCGUGGCCCUUAGGGGCUCUCUCCUCUGAGGCCCCGACCCCCAUCAUAAUGGUUAGAAUGGAGGCGCGGUCGGGAUCGCUGCAGAGGGGGAGGAUCUCCUGAGGAAUGCGAGACGCCUCCGCGGAGCUAAGAUUCAGCACCCUUUGGACCACGAUCUUGAAGUCCUCGGGAGCCCAAUCCCAUCUGGCUCCCUGGUGGGUCCGCAUGUAGUCUUCAGGCCCAGUGUACUCCCAGGCGUUCCGGGCGCGCCGUUGGAGCGGCGCAAUCCGGCGACGGAGGUAAUCGCCGUACACCAUGGCCCCGGUGAGCCCCUGGGAUCGCAGGCCCGCCAGGCGGUCGAGGACGGCGUCGUAGUCCUCCCCCAGAUCUACUGGUGCCCGCCAGCUGGAGACCUGUGCCGGGGGCUGGCUUGGAAGUCGGAGGCGCGCUUCGUUGGUGAGGGGGGUGUAGAACCAGUCGCUCUUCCAGUCGUCCCACUUCUUGCGAAGGACGCAGGGGAUGUAGCGGUUCAGCACCGGCCCCCGCGGCUGGAAGUAGCAGCCGCCAACCACCGACGGCGGUGACACCGACUGCACGGUGAAGAACCACCGGAACAGCUGAAGAGAGGGGCGCACCCCGAUGAACAUCUCGCACAGAUGCGCGAAGAUGGCCAAUGUCAUCACCGCAUUGGGGGUGAGGUGCGCCAUCUGGAGGUCAUAGAACUCCAGGACAUCCAUGAAGAAAUGAGAAAAUGGCGGGACCAGCCCAGCCAUCGCGAAGGGGAGGAAGAAGAUGGACCGCCCCGGGUAGUCUGGUGCCGGGCGCCCCUCGCCCAGCAUCACUAUCUCCCGACCGGUGGCGGACUCCGGCAUGAAGCGGCGCGGCAGUCCGGCGUGCCUCUCAUUCACGAUGCGGGAAGGCGGUAGUACACUGCCGUCGAGCAGAGCAGAGCCCCGUGCCAUGGCGGCGGAGGAAGAGAUGACUGAGAACGAGCGCGUGUGGCGAAAGUAGGGCGUAGCAGAGAAAGAGUUAGAGCUCAGGUGGCGAAGGCAAGAGGAACAAUGGCGAAAGGAAGGAAGCAAAUCCUUUUCUCGAUGCUUUUAUACCCUUGCCAUCGCUGGGCCUGACUCCUCGUUUCUCGCGCCCACUACCUCGCUCCCUCGUAUCUCGCUAUCUCGCUCCCUCGUUUCCCGUGCCCACGCUUCCACUAAUCCCAUUCGCCCGCUUACGGCGCAUUGAGUGGAUAUGCGGUUGUGGCAAUCGAAAUGGAUUGUAUCGUGCGCGCGUUAAUUACGCUCGCCGACCGAAGCGGCGUUACCAUAUCUCCGGGCGAGACGAAUCUGCUCACCCAGAUUCGCGCGCUGCUCAAGUGGUGUGGCAGUCUUGAAUAGACCGCCCAUUAUGGACAACCAAAGUUACCAAUACCAAUGUGCAUGGAUUGAGACCGUUGGGUAUUUUGCCCAACUACGGAGACCGGUCCCACCUGUCACAGGGUGGCGUCACACCUGACCGCUUCCCUUGGGAAGGGAAAUUGCUCUGGCAUAACGCCGGGGGCUACUGUCGGUGAUAUGGGACCGGGAGUAUCAUGACUAGAGGCUUGAGGCAGACACAAUCGCCCACGUGGCCUGGCACCUUCGGGGACGUCGGGCCCGAGGGUGAGGUGUCCGCCCUCCUCCUGAUUUCCCCCGAGGGGGGGUCGGGUUGCGCUUGCCCCGGCCCCGAGGGCCGAGGCACCCCGACCCCCUUAAGGAAGUCUGCGCCACAUAUAUGGGAUAAGUGAGCACAGCUGUGCUCACCUAACAGCAUUUAUUGCAGUCUGGUCAAGCGUGUCACGCUGCAUGCAGCGCAGUACGGCGCGUUCCUUUAUCCGGUCUGUGACCAGUCACAGACCGGUCAGAUCACGGGUUAGGUGGCGACUGGCGGUCUGACGCACGCCUUACCCCAUCCCGUCAAGGUGUGAGCUUCUAAGCACUCGUCCCCAGCUGGAGCUAGCGUGUUACAUCCCAGAGAUGGCACGUUAACCCCGAUCGAUAUAUACCAGGCUUCAUCCUAACCAUUACAGGCAAGGUGUUACACAAGGAAGGGCAAACAUGCAUGUUGUUAAACUGACGCGUGGUGGACAAGAAUGACCGGUCUGGCACUGGUCGCGUCAGCAACGGGCAGCCACGAUCCCACGUUGCGCCUGUCUCCGCCGGGAGUGGAGGUAGGUGUGGGCUGUCCCAUCGGAGUGUCAUUCGGACAGCAACCAUACCAAUCUCCGUCCAUAAAGAGAAGAAAAGUCCAGUUUGGAAAGGGAAGGGUGCAUGUGGUAUCCCCUUGAAGUAUAAAAGGAGGACCUUGCCCAUAGAGAGGGGGGUUUUUUUUGAUUCUUUUCCAGAUUUAGAGCUUAGAACGGGGGAGAAGUUGGCUCACACUUUGUAGCUCAUUCAUACACAAAUCCACAAAAACACAGGAGUAGGGUAUUACGCUUCGCAGCGGCCCGAACCUGUAUACAUCGCCGUGUCUCGUGUGUCUUGCGGGCAGACGAUCUUUCCAGAUACAGAGGGAGAGCGAGAGCUUGAGAUUUCACCCUAAGCCCCCGGCCGAACUGGCAAAGGGGGGCCUGCGCGGUCUCCCGGUGAGGAGCCACGAGCUCCGUCAGUGCUGGUACCUCAAUGACAGGCAUUGCAGGCACAACAUCAGCAGGUAGAGAGAAGAAAGGUUCCUGAGUCGACGGAGCAGGUACAGACACCCGCCUCUCCUCAAGAUCAAUUUCUCAAACUACCGAGCUCCCCCUAAUCAUUUCGUCUUCCAAGAAGACGGCGUGUCUCGUUUCUACAAACUUUGUAUAACUGUUUGGACAGUAGAAACGAUAGCCUUUUGAUCUUUCAGGAUAGCCAAUAAAAUGGCAACUGACUGUUUUGGGGUCCAACUUCCCAAUAUUUGGGUUAAAUACUUUGGCCUCUGCAGGACUCCCCCACACACGGAGGUGAGUUAGCGAGGGUACUCUCCCUGUCCAUAGCUCAUACGGUGUUUUGGGCACCGAUUUGCUUGGAACUCUGUUGAGAAUAUGAAUGGUGGUUUUUAACGCCUCCAUCCAUAAACCGAGUGGUAGUGUGGAGUAGCUCAUCAUGCUGCGCACCAUAUCCAUAAGCGUACGGUUGCGCCUUUCUGCUACCCCAUUCUGUUGAGGUUCGCCCGGUGUUGAAUACUGGGCUACUAUUCCAUUCUCUAGCAAGAACCUUGCAAAAGGUCCAGGGACUUGCCCAUAAGGCGUAUGUCGACCAUAGUACUCCCCCCCACGGUCAGAUCUUACUACUUUAAUCUUUAUAUCAUGCUGAUUUUCAACUUCAGCUUUGAAUAUCUUAAAUUUAUCCAGUGCUUCUGAUCGCUCUUUAAUUGGAUAAAUAUAACCAUAGCGGGAGUAAUCAUCUGUGAAUGUUAUGAACGAGUCAUAGCCAUCCACACUUUUCACAGGAAAUGGACCACAAAUAUCUGUAUGAAUGAUCUCUAAAAUUCCUGCGCUUCGUUUUGCACCCUUUUUGAUGCUCUUUACAAAUUUUCCUUUAAUGCAUUCUAUGCAUUGUUCUAAGUCUGAGAACUCCAAUGGAGGAAGAAUUUCAUUCUUAACUAGUCUCUCAAUUCUCCCCCUCGAAAUAUGGCCCAAACGACAGUGCCAUAAUUUCGAUGAGACAUCGGGAGUUCGCUUUCUUUUCUUGUUUUCUUUUGUCAACGAGGACACAACAUUCACAUUCUCAGAAAGAGAUAACAAAUAAAGCUCGUCUCGCAACACAGCAAGACCAAUACAUGCAUUAUUAUGCCAUAGUUCACAUUUGCCACUUCCAAAGCGGCAAUCAUAUCCAUCAAAAUCCAACUUUGAUACACUUAUUAAGUUCCUUUGCAAAGAAGGAACAUAAAAGACAUCUCGAAGUAAAAGUAUGAAGCCAUUCGCGAGCUCUAGAGGAAGAUCUCCAACAGCUUCAACUUUUUCUUCAACUCCAUUGGCAACUCUAAUGGUGCUUUCUCUUCUUUGCGUAGUCCUCGUCGAACGGAAUGCCUUUAAACAAUUACAAGCAUGAAUAGUUGCUCCAGAAUCAAUCCACCAUGUGGAUCUAGAGUAACCAACAUAAUGAGAUUCAUUUACAAAUGUAAUAAUGUUCUCACCUUUCUUUGCCAUGAUCAUUUUCAAAAAGUCAGGACAAUCUUUCUUGUAGUGUCCUGUCUUCUUGCAGUGGAGACAUUGAUCUUUCUCAACAGCGAACUGUUGUUGUUGAGGCAGAUGCUGAGACUGUUUACCUUUUGAGGUGGGAGACUUGUGGUUCUUUUUCUUAUCUUUAACAUAGUUUAUUGAACCACCAUUUGAUUCUUUGAUUCUCUCCUCCUCUUGCACACAAUUAGCAAUGAGCUUCUCAAAGUUCCAUUUCUCUGGACUUAUGUUGUAGUUGACAAUAAAAUUGUCAAACUGCUUUGGCAAUGAGGCCAUAACCAGAUGGACCAGAAAGUCAUCUGUUAUGCCCAAAUCCAUUGGCUUCAAUUUGGAAGCCAUGUUGCUCAUUCUAAGUAUGUGGUCUCUAACACCACCUCCAUGGUACCUUUCUGUCACAAGCUGCUUGAUCAGCUGUGUAGCAUAAGUCUUUGAAGAGCCAGUAAACUGACUCUUUAUUCUUUCAAGGUACUCUGAGACAGCGUCACACUCUGGGAUCGAGCCCAAUAUGGUAGGCUCAAUUGUAUUCUUUACCACAGCCAAACAUUUCUUGUUGGCUAAGGACCAUUUCUUUUGUUCAAUGUCAUACGACAUGACGAGAGGAGCAUUGUCCCUCUGUCUCUUUUGCCAGUCAGCAUCUGACUCAUUUUCACCUCUGACAAGGUCAGCAGGUUCUAUAGGACAUGGGGUAGUCAAUACCCAGUCCACCUCUCCCAAGAUAAAAGCAAGGUCGAGUUUUCUUUUCCAUUCUGCGUAGUUAUCUCCUUUUAGGGUCGGAAUAUCUUUAAUGCAACCCAUCAAGGAGUAGCCACCUGAAAUAAUCAUGUGCGGUGAGAACAAAAUUAACAUUAAAAUAUUAUGCAUUAAGCCUACAUCACCGUUGGGCAGAAUUAGACAUAACACAUAUAACCAUAACUAUAAUAUUGCAAUUAACAACGUUGGUCAGAAAAUUACAACAUCAUAGCACAUAAUUAAUGUUCCUAAAAUUAAAUUCUCCCGUUGGUUCGAAAUUUAAUUUUAGAAACACUAAUUUUCAUCAAUUUCAUCUAUUUGCAGCGGAAGACUAUAUAAAAUCAUAUGAACAGUAGCAAAAUCUCUGUAAUUCUCUCUCUGUGAAAAUUCUCCCGUUGGUUCAAAUUUAAACUGAGGUAAAACAUGCAAAAAUCUAUUCAAAAUUCUAUUGAAAUUUGCAUGAAAAAUUGACAAAAUAAAAUGGAAAAAUUGCUACUGUUCUCUUUUAUUCAUUUUCGGCCCCGGAGGGACCUUAUAUGGACUUUUUCCGGCCUUUGCCGGUCGGCCCAUGGCCACCUUGCGCGCGGGCGAGCGCCCCCUCCCCUCCCCCAGGCCGCAACCUGGGCCUGGGCCGGGAAAGCCGCCGCCGCGCGCUCCCCACUUGGGCCGAUUUCGGUCCGGCCGCCGCCGGCCGUCCGAUCUUAGGGUUUGCGAUCGGACGGCCGGGCGCCGAAAACGGGGAUCAAAACCCCUCGUGCCCCGGCCGGCCGCCGAAACCCUAGCUUCUCCUCUCUUUCUCUCUCUCGGGCGGGCGCGGUCGCGCCGAGCGGCGUCGCCGACGCCGGCGGCCCUCGCGCCGCCGCGCCAUGGCCGGCGCUCCUUUCUUUUCUCUUCUCCGCUCCCCCCACCGUCUCUAACCCCCACCGUGUGAGAGAGAGAUGGCGACGACGGAGAUGGCGGCGCCGCCGCGGGCCCCCUCGCCGGCACGCGCGUGCAGGUGCGCGCGCGGCCGUCGAGUGGCUCCUAGGCGGCGCCUCUUUGCCCCUCCCCCCCUCCGUUGCCGGCGUUGACGACGGCCGGCGACGAGGUAAGAAUUAGGGUUAGGGUUUUUGGUUCUUUUGAUCCGUGCGGAUCUUGUGCUUUUCUUUCUUUGGAUUUCUUUCCCCGAAACGAUCUAAACACUAGGGUUGCUCUGAUACCAUUGUUAUACUUUGCUCUAGGAUCACCUAGGUUAGAUCUAGUCGGGUGGUUCUAUUUGGGUUUGAUGAACGACAUUGUAGAUGAAAGGGAGAGGGUUUAGAUACCGACCGGUUGAGGAGUUCGUGGAGGAAGAGGCGCCAGACAUCGUCGUUGUCGUCGCGGCUUGACGUGGAUGCGGCGCCGGUGAGGUCGACGGUGAUGACGGCUGCGGCAGUGGUGGUCGUAGACGUCCCGGCGAUGAGGCGUGGCGCGGCGGUGGCGUUUCCCGUCACUGGCUGCGCCCCCUCUCGAUCGGAUUAGGGUUUUGUGGGGUGGAGUUGGCGGCGGCGGUGAAUCUCGUACGAUGUGCCGUGCCGGCCUCCACCCCUCUUUUAUAUGGCGCAGUGUGACGGGGGCCCACCAGCCAUUGGGCUGGGCGCCCCCGAUCAGGGCGCGGUCAAGGCCCCCUUGAGCCGUUGGGCUCAAGGGGAGAGAGAUCUAUCUAACAAUUGGGACCCCAGCAGCUGAGGUACAUGACCGUCCUCAGCCCCUCCUCGGCCUUCUCCGCUCUCCUCCUCUCCGCCACCGCCGCCGCAGAAGCAGGCAGCUUCUUGCCCUGAGAGACGCCGGCGGCGUUGGCCUUGGCUGCUUUGUGGAUGGACCGCAGCGCGUAGUUCCAGCGGCAGAGUCCGCCCUGGUCCUUGAGCGCCUCCACGGCGCCCACGCUCAUCGCCACCAUCCACGACGCCUUCGCUGCACCCGCCAUUGAUCGAGCUCUCUUCUUUCUUGCUAAGAUCGACCGGAUUGUCCUGUGGUUUCUUGCUCCUGAUUUGGUUUGCAGUAGAGUUGUUGCAAUGCUGAGUAGUUGAUGCUGUGCUGGUGAGAAAGAGGGAACUCGGGUUAUAUAGAGGAGGGUGUGGAGAGGAGAACGACGGGUUGGGCGAAACAAGGAGGCGCCGCGCGUUGGUUUCCCAGGAUACCGGGUGCUUUGCUCUGCUUGAUUACGCCGGAAUUCGCUUUCGUCCAGGCUCGGUGGCCCGCAUCCACCUCAUCUCGAGGCGUCUCUGUUGGCGGUAUGGAAGCUGGUUGUCCGUUGCGAGGGUCCACAUGAGCAGUGUAACCGAUGAGGACGCGUGUCACUUGAGAUGCCACGAAGGGCUAGUGUCUGCAUGGGCCUGAGUUUUGUGUUUAGCUCAGCACUGUAAACCAUUCUUCCUCCUUCAGCAAUAGUUAUUCAAUCAUCUAUUCUAUUAUUAUUAUAUACUAAAAGUCCAUGAAACUUUCUAUAAACGCUCUCAAGCCGCCACGUGGCGCUCUAAUAAAAUAGAGAAAAUCCUAGAAAUUCUAAGAAAAAAGCAAAACAUCUAUCCCUUAAUUUUUACUUAAAUUGGUAGGUCCAAUAUUAUACACCGUUAGAUAAAAUUGAUCUUAAAACAAACUAAAUACCAUGGUCCCACCUAUCCUCUUCCCACACAUUGGCAGGUGUAGUAUAUACGUACGUACAUACGUACGCCUCCUUCCCCCCCCUUUUUUUUUCCUUUUUUUCUUUUUUUUCUUAUUUUUUCCAUUUAUAUAUAUAAUGGAUAUAUUUUUAAAUAAUUAAUCAUAAUUUUACAAACAAAUAAUCUACCAUCAUAUAACUUAAACCGGUGUACUUUUUUACUUUGUACUACUAUUUUCAAAUAAUGCACUAUUUUAAAAUAAAUUUUACACAAUUAUAUCAUGUAUACUAAAAGUCCAUGAAACUUUCUAUAAACGCUCUCAAGCCGCCACGUGGCGCUCUAAUAAAAUAGAGAAAAUCCUAGAAAUUCUAAGAAAAAAGCAAAACAUCUAUCCCUUAAUUUUUACUUAAAUUGGUGGGUCCAAUAUUAUACACCGUUAGAUAAAAUUGAUCUUAAAACAAACUAAAUACCAUGGUCCCACCUAUCCUCUUCCCACACAUUGGCAGGUGUAGUAUAUACGUACGUACAUACGUACGCCUCCUUCCCCCCCUUUUUUUUCCUUUUUUUCUUUUUUUUCUUAUUUUUCCCAUUUAUAUAUAUAAUGGAUAUAUUUUUAAAUAAUUAAUCAUAAUUUUACAAACAAAUAAUCUACCAUCAUAUAACUUAAACCGGUGUACUUUUUUACUUUGUACUACUAUUUUCAAAUAAUGCACUAUUUUAAAAUAAAUUUUACACAAUUAUAUCAUGUACCUAUCAAAUAAACAAUAUCUAUAUUAACUAAUUUAUACGUGCACUAAAACUGAUGGCCCCAUUAUAUAAAUCAUCGGAUCUACUUUUUAUUACAUUGGUCUAUUAUUCUCACGUAAUGCACUGUUUCAAAGUAAGGUCUACACCAUUAUAUUAUGUACCCAUUAAAAUAACAAUUUAAAAUCUAUAUUAACUCAUUUACACUUACACUAGAACUGGUGGACAUAUUAUUAUAAUCAUCGGAUCUAUUGUUUGCUAAUAAAUAAAGCGUCCGAAAUUCUCUUUUUGCUCGCUGCACAAUAUACGUCUGCACCUUUGCCUUUCGCACAUGUAACAAAGCGCAGUGUCUGAGACAUCUAAGGUGAUCACAACCGAUGUAGCGCUACCGUUUUGCCACAUAUCAAAUCAUAUAUGGAGAUGAUUAAUUUUAUUAAUAACAUGAAAAGAAAAUUAAAGGUGUGAUGCAGCGAUUAAUUAUUUUCCCGAUUCCAUAUUUUGGAUUUUUGUUUGCACGCUUUUUAAGUUUCUAAAUGGUGUCUUAUUUAAACAACAUUUUAACGUUUUAGAAGUCAAUUCAUUCGUUUAUACCCUCAAAUAGCUAUCACAUAAAUUAUAUAAUUCAUCAAUUUCAGCUAUCCUAAACCUUACUACAUAUUUUUUUUUCAUGCAAGUCAUGGUGAUUAGUAAAUUGGUGAUCAAUGGAUUAUCGAAGUCGUAAGAUGAAUAUAUAAGAGUUACUCUGAACAAUUGUAAAUAGGUGUCAAAAUUAAUUGCUAUUAGUUAGACAUCUAAUGGCUUGCUAGCCACAAAAUUAAUUUCUCUCUACAUUUAUAUAAACAAGGACGAAGUUGGAACAAAUAUUACCAUAUAUCCCAUACAUAUAUAUUGCGCAGUUAAUAUUCUAAUUAGUCAUUUAAAAUUUCUUAAAAUGCUCUCAAGCUGCCGCGUGGUGCUCUAAUAAAUUAGGGCAAAUAUUAGAAAUUCUAAGAAAAAAAAUAAAAUUAUCUAUUACUUAAUUUUCACUUAAAUCGGUAGGUCCAAUAUUAUAAACCGUUAGAUUAAAUUGAUCUUAGAACAAACUAAAUAUUAUGGGGUCCCACCUCAGCAUAGGUGCGCACCUACGUGCGCGGGUUCGUACGCAUCCCCUCCCUUUUUUUCAUUUUUCUCUUUCUUCUUUUUUCCCAUGCAUAUGCUUCCCUCCCUUUAUUACUAUAUCACACGCCUUCAUGAGAUGAUUUAAUCAAAAGAGUUUUGAAUAUCUUGCACUCGCAUUUUUCAUUUGCGGCCAUACUACACGGUAUGUAUAUAGAUAGACUGUAUGAUAAUUAACUACCAAUAGUUUCUUAUUUACUCGAGAAAAAAACAUGAUUUAAAAGUUGUAAGUACUAAACCCAUCUCCUACUCAAAAGUUCGUGAAUGGUUUUCUAAGAUACCUUAAGAAAAAUAGAACCCUUAAAUUAUUAUAAAAUAAAAUUAUCCAAACUUUAGUUUGCCCUAAAUCUAUGAGACAAAAUUUUUGAACAAACAAUAAUCUUACCUUUUAAUAAUAUAAGUGCCCGCGCAUACGCGCGGGCCACCUUCCUAGUUUCUUUAAUUUUUUUUUCUCCCUCAUUGUCAUACACAGGUAAAACUUCUUCAGUUUAAGGAAACAAACGAUGCUUUCUGCUCCGCACUGUCUCGCUUUCAAAGUUUCAGCAAAAUCUGCCAAAUCUACUACAGUACCUUUUUGUGAUUCCCCUGCAUCCUAGAGUCUGUACUUGCACUAAUGGGAAAGAAAUUUGUGCUUUUAUUCGUGGUGAACGAGUAAACUAAGGCUGUGUUGGCUCAGGCGUGUUCCUAACCAGAACGGUGCACACAGAAAAUAGAACGAUCCAUUAGCGUAUGAAUAAUUAAGUAUUAGCUAAUUCCCUUUUCAAAAAUGGAUCAAUAUGAUUUUUUUAAACAACUUUCGUAUAGAAACUUUUUACAAAAAAUACACCGUUUAGCGAUUUGAAAAUCAUGCGCACAAAAAACGAGGGAGAUGAGUUGGAAAACCUAUGGUAAAGAACAUAGCCUAAGACCAUUCACAGGGCAUUUUGCCGGACUUCGUAUGCCAUAUAGACCCAAAAACACCAAAACACAAUGUUAGCCACAGGUUUUCACGGUGCUAUAUAGUCUCAAGUAGGGUCUAUAUAAAUAAAAAAAGUUUCUCAGUUUACUUUUCCCCAUACUCUCCCCAUCAACUGACGCUUUCUUUCCCCCUCUCUCUCCUCAACACGAAGCCAGCGGAGCUCGGGGUCGAGGAGACAACCGUAGUCGGCGCAGAUCGGAGGACGACGAUGGGCUCCGCAGCGGCGGGCCAAGCGGCGACGGCGACGGCCGUGGGCGGGGAGCCACCGCAGCCGCGCGCCCGCGCCCCACCUCUUCAUCCGCCGCGGGCGGGAAGCCGCUGCCGCCGCCAUGCCCCCCUUUCCGCCGGCGCCCCUAUGGGCUUUCACAACCGGCGUGGAACGGGAUGUCAUCGAACUCGUUGGUGUGGAUCUGGUGGUGGACGACCUCAAGCUCCUCUCCGGCAGCUUCUCACCCCACCGUCGUCGCGGCUCUUCCUCCCCCUAGUUGGCGCCGCUCUCUCCUUCACUGAUAGCACGACGUCAGUGGGAGCUUGGACGCGGCGCGGAUGCGGUUUCUCCGGCGAGCUUCUCUGCCCCCCUCUCUCCGGCUUUCUCGCCACGGAGCGAUGCAUGUGAUUCGUUUUUCUCUGACAAAAGUUGUUACGCUCUAACGUGGCUCUCGGAACUAAAGAAGAAUGCGCGAACCAGGUGUAGUCACGGGCCCCACCUCCAUUUCUCCUCCACACAUGCAUUUUGCUAACGUGGAUAAAGAUUACCACACGCCAACUCACCGCACUGUGAAAUGUCCUAAUGAGCAUUUCUUCUCACGCACCAACUCGCAUCACACGAGCACACCAUUUUAUGCGGGUGACGAGACCGGAGUUGUGGGAGGCUAGUACUAGCUUGGACCGAAACCCGAGGCUCGGAGCACAUGGUUUCCAUGUUUACGGAUGCACUGUAAUCUAGGCAUACAAUCCAGACCCCUUUCCGCCCGAAUCUGAUCCAAUAUCUCCUGAAUAGGUCUCGUUUAGACCGAGUUUAGUUCUAAACUUUUUUUUAAAACUUUUAACUUUUCCAUCACAUCAAAACUUUUCUACACACACAAACUUUUAAUUUUUCCAUUACAUCGUUCCAAUUUCAACCAAACUUUUAAUUUUAGCGUGAACUAAACACACUAGUACACAAACUGUGAAAGAAACUGCAACUUUACUCCCUCCAUUUUAAAACAUAAGUGAAACUAUAAGAGAAUUUAUUUGGAUUUCAGAUUUACUAAUACUAUGAUAUAUCCAAUUCUACCAAAAACUCAUAUUUUGAUAAGGGGAGUAAACCGAAAUCUCUUUUAUUUUGAUGAGGGGAAAUACAUCGUUUUAAAUUGGUCAAGAAACAGGGCAUCAGGAUUGGAUGAUUCAUUGAUGUGUUGUAAAGAAGGAAAUAAGAAAGAGUCAGUUUUUGCGCUCUUUUCGGUCUCGGUGGUUCUAGAGUCCAUCCUUUCGGAUGACCGGCUGUGGUCGUUAGUGGACGUUGCUUCCUUUGGGGACUUGUUAGGAGUACAGCGUGGUUCUGCCUCCCUUCCGCUGUUUGGAGUAGUGUAACCCGUCGUACGAGUUUUUCUUUUUCUUCCUUGUUUUUUUUGUCUCUGUUUUCUUCUUUCCUUGGUAUAGACCGGUUUGGCUGAUUGCGUAACAAGAACUCUAUCUAUCUAUUAUCUAUCUUCUAUCUAUCUAUUAUCUAUCUUCUAUCUUCUAUUAUAUACUAAAAGUCCAUUAAACUUCCUAAAAACGCUCGCAUGCCGCCACAUGGCGCUCUAAAAACGCUAUCAAGCUGCCACAUGGCGCUCUAAUAAAAUAGAGAAAAUCUUAGAAAUUCUGAGAAAAGAAAAAAACUAGCCCUCGAUUUUCAUUUAAGUUGGUGGACCCAUUAGUUUACACCGUUAGAUUAGAUCCAUUAUUUAAUAGUAAUCUAUCUCUCCUAAUUUACCAUGUAAUACUUACCUAAAUAUAAUGGCCGGAAUAAGCCAAGAAGGCAUAUACGUACGUACGAGUUAAAUAGAAAAAGCAUACUGCAUGUAUACGUACUAGGUACUACUGGAACUUCCUCUGUAUUUUUUAAAAAACAUUGCCAACGUUAAAUAUUUAGUGAAACUACCGAAAGAAAACAACGAUUUUAAACUAGAUUUUUCUAUUAUACUUCCUCUGGAUUUUUUUUAUUUUCUUUAUGAUGAUCAACGUCAAAUAUUUAAUGAAGGUGGUAGCAUAAGAAAAAUAUAUUACUUCAUAAAACAUACACACCCCAAAAUAGAUCUAUAAUAUAAUAUAAAAUAUCAAAUAAACAUAUCAUUUCACACCACAAUUGUUGAGUAUAGAUAGAUUUUAUUUGCAUCAGUGGGUCUACAUUGAUAGUUCAAGAUGAAACAAUGAGUAAUUAAAAUAUUACUUGGGACAUAUUGUCAGAAACUCAAAUAAAAAAUGUAUUGUUUAAAAAUAUGUUGCAUUUUUUCUCGCAAAACAUAGUUAGCCGUUAAUGACUCAAUUAAUAUACGCUUUUGAUUUGUACAUAUUUAGUAAUAAAUUUAAGGUUGAGUUCUAAAGUGUUUAUCAGAUUGGCUCUCCCUCAUUUAUCUUGAGCAUGUUCUUCGAACUAUUAAACUGUGUGUGUGUUUUGCAAAUAUUUUCUAUAAUUUUUUUAAAACUAUCUAUUUUAAUGUUUGUAAUAUUUAAUACUUAAUUAAUAUUGCGUUGAUGACCUACAUUGUUUUCCGUGCCCGGCAUAAGCUCAACCAAUGAGAUAGAAUGUAGUUUAAGUAGGAGAUAAAUUAGAUUAUUUACUAUAUAAUUUAAAAUUAAAUAAUCAAGUUAACUACAUUAUUAAAAAAUUUCAUUACUUUGGAUCAUAUAUAUUUAAGAAAAAAGCAAAUAAGUUUUGUUGUCUCCUUGCUAUUUCUUAGCUAUUAACUAAAAUAAAAACAAUAGACAAUGUUGGAUUUUUUUUUGAAACACCGCCCGCGCACACCCUACCCUUUUGAGUACCUCCAAAAGACUAAGCCAGCACAUUUUGAGACUGACGAUGUCACCACGGGCGUCUCGCUGUCGACGGGUAUGUCACCUACCACUGAAAGAAUAAUUAGUCGUAACUGCGAACACCCAUGUCAAGUCUAGGACUUGAACAUGGGCAUGUUUCACCAAAAGAAACCUAACCAAUUAAUUGAGCCACGCUCACUUCGCAAUAACGUUGGAUAUUAAAAUAACCAUAAUUUUUCAGCUACAUUACUGGAAUACUUAUAUGCCUUUUAGACCGGUGAACUAUUAGUUAUAACCGUUAGAUCUAUCUUAUAUAAAAGUUAAGCAUGUAUCCAUGGUACAUGAUAUUUCCAAAAUAUUAUUGUGCAAUUAUAUUUCGUUAUUAUCGUAUCCAUAUUAGGUUGCAUGGAGCCUCUCACCCACCCUACUUGAAAUGUUCAUAGAUGGAUCACCUCUCAAAUUACAUCAAUCGUAUUAGCUUAUAUAAACCCAUACAUUUAAUGGAGCUUCAUGUCCCACCCAAUUCAUCUCUUAAUGAACUAUUAUAAUAGAUAUCCAUUUACUUUCGCUGACAUGUAUUCUAAAAAAAAGUCUACUUUAUUUUUAAAUGAUAAAGAAGAUUAUAAAUAAUUGCUUAUAGAUAUUAUUUAAAUAUGAUAUUACUAAUAGGUUAGAAACUUAUUAAGCAAUUAAUACUGAUGAAAACAAUUUAAUAUCUCACGGCAGAUGUUCUCCGUUUAAUAUUUCGCUCUUAUAUUUAUCUCAAACAUAGCGUACGAUGCAUGCCCGCGCAAAUGCGCGGGCUACCUUCCUAGUUAUUCUAAUAUAUUGAUGUGCAAUCUUCAUUCGCGAAAAAAGAAGGAAACAAGAAAGAAUUAUCCACAUAGGAUUGAAAUUAAAUUGAUGGCACCACUGCCAAGUUGAUCAUGAUCCCAUCGGCAAUUCAAACGUACUAGAAGAAAUUGUAGCUAUCCAGUAGAAGUAGAAGUAUGAGUACUACGCCAUGUCCAGGAGUACUAGUGCUUUGUAGCACUAUGCCAUGUCCAAUUAUGUUUAUUUGUUAUAAUCAAGGGGCAGGGUUCGUACGGUCGUCUCGUUUUUGUCAUGAUAAGUAGUUCUUCCCCUUCAAAAACCAAAUCACGUACUGCAUGCUACAGGAAAUGCUUGCCAAGAUCUCAAAAGCAUUUUGAACCCAUGAGGCAUCGAGACACCAGUAUACUCAAGUAACAGAAGUUUUCAUCAUCAUCAUCUUCGUGGUAUAUACAAUCAGGAGGAAUUCAACAAGCAACCGGCAAGUCUCAGCCAUGCUUCCCCUUCCAAACCCGCUCUAUCCUACUACUAUUAGCUAGCUAUAGUAGACAGAGCUAUACUAAUUGGUGCUCCAGCAGCUGAUGUACAUGACCGUCCUCAACCCUCCUCGGCCUUCUCCGCUCUCUCUCUCCGUACGCCGCCGCGGAGCAGGCAGCUUCUUGCCCUGCGAGACGCCGGCGCGUUGGCCUUGGCCGCCUUGUGGANGGACCGCAGCGCGUAGUUCCAGCGGCAGAGUCCGCCCUGGUCCUUGAGCGCCUCCACUGCGCCCACGCUCAUCGCCACCAUCCAAGACGCCUUCGCUGCACCCGCCAUUGGAUCGAUCUCUUCUUUCUUGCUGAGAAUUGGACCGGAUUGUUUGUGAUUUCUUCUUUUGGUUUGCAGUGAACUAUUGUAUGCUGUGUUGAGGAUGAGGAGGAAGGAGAGGGGCGGGUUAUAUAGAGGAGGAGGGCAGGAGGCUGUGGAGAGGAGAAGGACGGGGUUGGGGCGAAACAGGAGGCGCCGCGCGUUGGUUUCCCAGUAUACCGGGUGCUCUGCUCUGCUUGAUUAGGCCGGAAUUCGCAUUCGUCCAGGUUCGGUGGCCCGAGUUGUCUCUGUUCGCGGUAUGGGAGAUGGUUGUCCGUUGCGAGGAGCCCACAUGGGCAGGAGUAACCGAUAAGGACGCGUGUCGCUGCAGAUCCACGCAGGGCCAGUCCUGUAUGGCCUAAUUUUGGGGUUUAUGAAACUUAGACGAUCAGCUGUGAGCUAUUUUUCCUCUCUCAGCAACAGGUAAAACUUCUUCAGAGUAAGGAACAAAGCAAUUCUUUCUGUACUGUACUCCUACCUAUCUCGCUCUCAAAGUUUCAGCAAAAUCUGCCAAAUCUACUACUCCCUCCGUUUCGAAAUGUUUGACACCGUUGACUUUUUAGCACAUGUUUGACCGUUCGUCUUAUUCAAAAAUUUUUGUGAAAUAUGUAAAAUUAUAUGCCNUACAUAAAAAUAUAUUUAACAAUGAAUCAAAUGAUAGAAAAAGAAUUAAUAAUUNCUUAAAUUUUUUGAAUAAGACGAACGGUCAACAUGUGCUAAAAAGUCAACGGCGUCAAACAUUUCGAAACGGAGGGAGUAUAAUAUGAUUCUGGAUCCUGUACUUGCAUUCUUUGGUGAGCGAGUAAACAAGUGAGCAUUUCUUUUCACGCACCAACUCGCAUCGCCCGACGACGUUUUCUUCGGGUGAUGGUGAGAGCGGAGUUGUGGGAGGCUGCUGGACAGGGGAAACCAGAGGCUGGAGCACAUGGUUUUCCAAGAUGUCAGGGGCUUAAUAAUUGCAUAAUACUUCUCGUUCCAGCUUAAUUUAUUGAUGCAUUGCAUUCUGGGUAUGCAAUAGACAGAAGACACCUGUGCUUUUCCGCACCAGUCUGAUGACUCUGAUCCAAUUCCUCCGACUCAAUAUCGUUUAGCACAAACUGGGAAAGAAACUGUAUUGUGAUUUUGCUACAUCAGUUUAAUUUGGUAAAAAAAAGAAUGGCAGAAAUUAGGAUUGGUUGAGUGGUAUAACGAAGGAAACAAGAAGGAAUUAUUCAGAUAGGAGUAUUCAUAGGACUGGAUAAAUUGAUGGCGCCACUGCCUGAUUUUCGUGCGUGGUAAUGUAUUGACAACCUGAUGACUGAUCUCUGAUCAUGAUCUCAUCAGCAAUUCAACUUUCAACGUGGAUGUUUAUUGUUGUAAUCAAAGUGCAGGGUUCAUACUGUCGUAUCAUUUUUGUCAAGAUAAAUACUAGUGGUUCUUCCCCGUCAAAAUCCAAAUCAUGUACAACCAUGAAAAAUGCCUGUCAAAAUCUCUCAAGGCAAAAGCAUUGAUAACCCAUGAGACAUCGAGACAUCAAGUAUACUCAAGUAACAGAAGUUUUCAUCAUCAUCAUCGUGGUAUAUACAACCCGGAGGAAAUUAACAAGCAACCGGCAAGUCUCAGCCAUGGUUGCCACUUCCAAGUUCCAACCUGACUCCUAUAGCAAAGCUAGUAGUAGAAGAGUAGAAGGCACAGCUAUACUAAUUGGUACUCCAGCAGCUGAUGUACAUGACCGUCCUCAACCCUUCCUCGGCCUUCUCCGCUCUCCUCCUCUCCGCCACCGCCGCCGCGGAGGCAGGCAGCUUCUUGCCCCGCGAGACGCCGGCGCGCGCGUUGGCCUUGGCGGCGCGGUGGAUGGACCGCAGCGCGUAGUUCCAGCGGCAGAGCCCCGCCUGGUCCUUGAGCGCCUCCACCGCGCCCACGCUCAUCGCCACCAUCCACGACGCCUUCGCUGCACCCGCCAUCGAUCGACGAUCUCUUCUUGAGCUUCCCGCUGUUAUACUGAUCGCUGAAUUCAGGGGACUAGUAGCGAGCAGUGAAGUACUACUGAUAGGUGAUUGGUGAUUGGUGCUAUGUUUGAUGAGAAUCUGGUGGGGAGUGGACGGUGGGAUUUAUACUUGAACGGGGGAGGGCGACGGGGUCAUUCAGUGGUGCGGGCUGAAUCAGGUGUCCGCGCGCGUUGGUUUUCCCAGAUACCGGGUGCGUCCCGGCUCAGUGGUGGCCCGCCUCGUCUCGUCUAGUCUCGUCUGCUGCAUCAUCGGCACAUCGCGGCGGGGAAGCGGUUUGUCCGUCGCGUCUCGCGUGGGGCGGGGUGCGGGCGGAAAUAAGAUAGGAACAACGUUACGUGACGAGGACUCGUGCCCCACACAACUGUUGCAACUUGCAACAUGGAGUAUGCAACUGGGCUAAUGGGCCUGGAAUUUGGGCCGACGAAGCUGAACGCAGGUAGAGGGCCGAGUCUCACGAAGAUAGAAUUUUUUUCAUUUUUAAUUUUUUUUCUUUUAAUAUUUACAGAAAUAAUCUAUUGGCGCAAAAAAUUACAAAAAUAGACCCUGCCGUCCUAAUGGAGGGCGGCAAGCUGACGUAGCAGACGGCGGCUCGACGGCGCCGUCUGCAAAAAAUUGCAUUUAGCCCCUAAAGUUUGGCUGGUACUUUUUGCAUCUGGACCCCUUGCCGCCCUACUAUAGGGCGGUAAGGGGCCCAGAUGCAAAAAGUACUAGGCCCGGGCUGGCUUUUUUGCAUGGGGCCCCUUGCCGCCCUAAUAGAGAACGGCAAGGGUUUUCGUGAAAAAAACCCUCCCUCCCCCGUCUGUCGUCACCGCCCGUCCCUCCCUCGUUUGCCACGUCAGCUUGCCGCUCUAGUGGAGGGCGGCAGGGUCUAUUUUUGUAAUUUUUUACGCUGAUGGAUUAUUUCUGUAAAUAUUAAAAGAAAAAAAUUUAAAAAUAAAAAAAAUUCCACGAAGAUAUACAAGUGCCCUAUUGUGUCAAGCUUUUCGAUGCACAUGUCACACUCCAGUAAUCACGCGGUCGACACGAGGGAAUAUCCGUGUGAUUUUGGCUGCGCUCCCGGCUGUCGGCCUGUACGGCUGUGUGAUCUCCGAUCCGGGUGCUGGAAAUGCAGCGUUCUGCUUGAGUCAUUUUCUGUGUGCUAUAGGCAAUUGCCAAUUGACAUGAGCUUACUUGGUUCACUUGAUUUCUUCGUGCCUUGCACGCCGCCACUGCGAAGGUAAUGGAUUUUUCAGAGACUCGGAGUAUUGCGUUGAUUGGUGGCUUAAAAGUUUUAACUAUCGUUUGGUUCGGGUCAGGUGCGUUAAUUUGUUUAGCUGGCUAUUGGUAAAGUCGGAUCUGUGACAGAAGCACAUGAGUUGCGACCAGACUGCAGCUCCUCAGAUGCUAAACAAGUGACUGCAUAAUAAAAAUCGUUGGGCUGGAUGAGUUUGUCAGCUGAGGAGCACAUUUUCCUUUCCCUCCUAAAGCUAGCUGUUCGAAGUCAAAGAUCAAAUGCUAGCAGAUUGAGUUGGUAUGGUAUAUGCCUUGGUCCAACACAGUAUGCAUGCUCAUAUGAACUUCACCUCUUUGAGGCAACUGUUUUUCCAAAAAAAUGAAUUUUUUAUUUGCAUGUAAACUUCGUCGAUGUUAGAGAAGCUAGCAAACACGCUUUCUCUUGUCCAUGCAGCAUAUACAAUCCACUCUCCCUUUUCUUAAAAAAAAAAACUUAGUGCAGUAUGCUCAAUUAGACAAUUGAGGGUGGUUUUUGUCCCUCGAAGAAUGGGCAUACACAAUACACUCAUUUUGUACAUACCAAUUAAAAAAAUCAUAUUUUUUAGAAAAAUAAUAAGAUAGAUUAAACUUGUAAUAUUUCACUUUACGGACAUGAAAAUUAAAAUUGUAUCCAUAGAAGUGUACAUAAAACAAAUCACGACUGUAAAUAUAGUAUACACUUUUGAUCGUUAUUGUUUCUAUUUAUAUAAGUCGAAGUCAUUUUUUUUUUAAAAAAAUUAAUGUUUGUGUCUUUGGGUGACGGUGAGCUAGAGCGGAGUUAUGGGAGCUGGUAGGGAAAACCGUUAGCUGGAGGACAUGGCUGUGUUCGGAGUCCAGUGAUGGAAGCCAAUCCCUCCCGUACGGAAAACGAAGCGGUCCUUUAGCGCGUGAUUAAUUAAGUAUUAGCUAAUUUUUUUAAAAAAAAAUGAAUUAAUUUGAUUUUUAAGCAACUUUCGUAUAGAAAACUUUUUAAAAAAAACGCAUCGUUUAGUAGUUUAAAAAACGUGCGCGCGGAAAAUGAGGAAGAUGGGUUGGGAACAUGGGGAUGCAAAGACAGCUGAUGUGGUAGAGUCCUUGGAUAGACCAUGUGAGGCCGGUUUGGCUGUUCAAUGGAGCAUCCUGUUUAGGUAGGACUUGGAUUUAGGGCCUGAUCGGAACUGCUAUCUGCUGCUGCCGCUAUGGCUGUGGCUGUUUUUCAGCUGCUGCCGCUGCAGCCAUUUUUAGCUCUUGCAGCCACAGUUGCUGCAGCAGCAAGCAGUAUCGAUCACACCCUUUAAUUCCAAAUGCUGUGCCGUACGACGGUACGAGGUACGAGCAGGUCAGCGGGUCACCAGUGUUGUGUGAAGCCAAGCUGUAUUCACUAGCUCGGGAUAGUUGGCACAAACGGCAUGAAAAUGUGGCGCCGUAAAUAAGUGAAAUACAGCUGCGUACUUUUUGAACACGCUGCAAACAUGAGACGGAGAAAUUUCAAUGCAAAACGGAAAAUAAAACUGCAAACAUGCGACGGAGAAAACUCAAUGCAAAACGAAAAAAAAAAUGGGAGCCUGUCAGAGAACCUGAGAGCCAUCCUGGCCAGGCGAGGCCCGGCAAGAAACGAUCCUCUACAGCCGUGGGAUCAAAUCAGCCAGUGAUCCGGCCGUUAAUCACGCUCUGGCCCACAGGUCAUGCGUCAUCAACCAAGCUUAAGUGCUUGCCUCCUUAUUAGUCAAGGAUGCAACGGUACGAGCCUAUAGAACAGAUCCCGUUCAAGUAAGGUCGUGCCACGGAUCAUCUGCACAACUCUUUUAAAUCAGCUUUGAUCUAUGUGGAUAGCCGAGGUGGUACUAAUACUAGUCUUUGUUGUCGUCCAAUUGCGUAAUGGGCCGGCCCAUACUGCAAUACAUGUCCUGAAAGGCUUCAUGGCCCACUACGAAAUGCUUUUCUCCUACAGUUUAUCUUACUUCUUCACAUCACGUGGUUUCCAACGUACCCAGUGUUCCCGGCUUCCAGCAUUUGCUGGUAGCACCAGUAGAAGACGCCUGUCUUGUGCUAUGGUCCCUGACUGCACAUCUGAUUCCUCCAAGAUCCAUGCAUGCCUGAUAACUUUAAGUUGCUUCAGAAGAACUUUAAGUGAUCUGUUCGUAUGUUUAAAGAUUCCUUGAUAAAAUAAGUUGCAGUUCUGAAAAUCCUAGAACUUGGAGACCUGGAUGAAUUACUGUCAUCUGAACCAAAUAAGAGAUGGCCUUAGCCACUAGCUAGAGAGACUGAAAUUCAGGGGCAACAAAUCCACGAGCCAACGUGAUCGCAAUUCACAUGGCAAAAAAACCACGGGGCAAUUUAGUAACAAGAAAUUUUCAUCAUCAUCUUGAUAUAUAUACACAUCAAGGAAGCAACCGGCCAAAUCUCAAGCCAUGGUUUGCUACUUCAGCUCUAGCUACGUACUAGUAUCUCGAGUUUAUACACUAAUUAGUACUCCAGCAGCUGAUGUACAUGACCGUCCUCAACCCCUCCUCGGCCUUCUCCGCUCUCCUCCUCUCCGCCACCGCCGCCGCGGAGGCAGGCAGCUUCUUGCCCUGCGAGACGCCGGCGGCGUUGGCCUUGGCUGCCUUGUGGAUGGACCGCAGCGCGUAGUUCCAGCGGCAGAGUCCGCCCUGGUCCUUGAGCGCCUCCACGGCGCCCACGCUCAUCGCCACCAUCCACGACGCCUUCGCUGCACCCGCCAUUGAUGAGAUUGAUCCGAUGAUCUCCUCUUUAAAUUUCUCGCGCUGUUGUUGUUGUGAUUUGUGAACUGAAUUGAACGAUGCUUUGUUGUUGUUGUUGAGGAGGAGGGUUGGAGUGGAGCUGGAUUUAUACUGGAGGGAGGCCAGUGGGGGUGGCGCGAAACAGGUGGCCGCGCUCGCUGGUUUUCCCGCGAUACCGGGUGCUUCCUUCAGCCGCUUGCUCCUCGCUAUCUGUCCCGGCUGGGUUGGUGACUCACCAUCUUGGCGCCCGUCCCGUCUCGUCUUUGUCCCACACGCGCAAGUGCGCAACUGGCAGAUUCGUGGGGAUUCGUGGGGAUAAUAUGGGUUUAUAUGGAGUAAGGUGACAAGGACGCGCGCCACUAGCGAGCUGAUGCAUCCCACACAGUUCUCUUCUCUCGGCGCCUAAUCCUUUUUGGGCUCUCGAAUCUUAACAUGGACGAAUCUAAGGCCCAUGUGAUCAUACGAAGGCCCGGCCUGGCUGUGUGUCAAGCUAACGUUAUCCGGUUGCACACCACCUCUUCCUCCUGUCCCUCGUGUUUGUGUCACGUUCGAUUCUCCCAAGCUGAUCUUGUGUCGCCGGAAUUGAGCAGGGGGGGACGUGCCGCGACGGAUCGAGGCGAUGCGGCAGGCGGUCGGCUUGUGCAAGGCCCAUCAACUUCGGCCGGCCGCGCUGCUGUCCCCGCGGCCGUUGCUCCGGCGAGCGUCCCCCUGCCUCCCUGCAGGUGGUUACAAGUUACACUACCUCCCACUGCAUCGGUUCUUCGCGUGUGUGCUUACUGCUUAGUGCUAACUGGAUGCAAUUGUGCAGCGGGAGCGGGUGGGGAGCUCAGGAGGGCCAGCGCCGCGUCGCGGUUGGUGGUCAGGAGGAGAUGCCAAGAAGAGGAGCAGCAGCAACAGCAGGAGGAGGAAGAGCGGAGCAAUGGCGGUGGUGGUGAUGGGGAGCAAGAGCAGAGAACAUUUCUCAGCUUGGAGGAGGCCGGGCUGGUGGAGAUGUCCGGCCUCAGCACACACGAGCGAUUCCUCUGCCGCCUCACCGUAAGUGUGCAUCUCUACUGAUCGAUUGCAAAGAUAUUACAGUGGCGAGCAGAUUAGCAUAUCAAAGUUGUGAAGUUUAGGUGAGGUGUUUGUCUCAACGAGCCGUUGACGAUGACGAGUAACCAUGUGAUUUUUUGUGACAGAUAUCGUCGUUGAAUCUCUUGAGAGUGAUUUCGGAGCAAGAAGGCGUCCCCAUUGAGGAGCUCAACGCAGGCCUUGUUUGCGACUGGUUCGUCAAGGACAAGCUCAAGAGGGAGCAGAACGUGGGCUCAGCUGUCCUGCAGUGGGACGACCCUGGUUUCUAGCUCCAUCAUCCGUUUAUGGAUGAUGGUGAUUUGGUGGUCUUGCCGGCGUCUCCACCGAGAAACAGGGUUCAUCAAGUCAACAUUUUUCUCGGUUGAUAGAGCUCACUGAUCACUUUCUUUGAAUUAAAGAGGGUUCCUUUGUCUUGCGACACUCGUUGUGCCUAAUUGGGCUUUUUACAUGUCAGUACAUGACGACCUGUAUCACUUCCUUUGUAUGCCAGAGACCAAAGCCAGAAACACAGCUUAAUUACGAAGAAUCAGUUUCAAGAAUAUAUGGAUCAGAAAUUGCUGUCGGAUUGUUUUCAACUUUUCAUUUCUAGCAUUCAGUUGAACAUUUUACUCAUCAAUUUUCAAAGUACUUGCAAAUCCUAGAAAGCCCCAAUACUUCUUGUCGAUAGUGUAAGGCUAGGAGCUUGUUCAUAAGGUCAUCUGACUUCUUUUGGCAAACAAUAACUUCACGCAGGUGUUUUGAGUCAAGGAGAUACACCAAAAAUGACUUUAUGCGUGCUACAGAAUGUAGCCAAGUACAUAUGCCCAGAUGUGCCAAAAAAAAUUCCGCAAGUAUGGGGAGAUAUUACAGGCACGACAGCAAAUGCCAAGUAGCUAACAAAAGUAUUUGUACGUCCAUCAAACAGAAUUACAGUGGACCCUGGCCCAUGGGUGAAUCAUCGGCCAACAAAGAUGCCUACAAACACACAUAAUCACAGUACAUAUCUUUUGUUUCCUUAGGAAAUGAUUUCGCUGGACUUCUUAUCAAAAGAGUGAGUGCACCAGAUGCAAGUCCAACGGGCUCACCAACUCCUUCAGCCUCUCCAUUUCCUUCUGCAAUCACAAUAAUGCAACUUAUAUCUCUAUGCUCACUAUUCAGGCAUAAAAAAAAUCAAAACAGGAAAACACCAAAUGUCUGAGAUGUAUGAGUUCAUGUCAUAUUGCAUGCUGUUUCAGGCAUAAAAGAAUCAAAACAGGAAAAGAGUUGAUGUCAUAUUACAUGCUGUUUCACCAAGUAGGUUGUCUUAAAAGAAGAUACUUGGAUCUACAACAUAUCCAUUUUGCAGACAGAACAAUCAUUGACAGUUCGUAAGUGAAGCAAUCAUAACAAAUGAAACAGGGGGGAGAGCAGCAUCCCACAAAACAGGGAAUUAAAUCAUAACAAAGGCCCAGUAAAGCUGAAUGAAAACAAUAUCAUGCAACAGCGCAUUGCACACACCCUCAACUUAACAAGGGCCACAAGCAUGAGUUAAGAGAUAGUGCCUCAAAUUUAUCACUUGAUGUCAUACUAUCUACUGCUUCCUCAAGUAUGUUCUCCCUGAAUCAGGGACUUGAAUCCACAGAAUAUAUAUUUUGCAGACAUGAUCAUCGUUGAUAACAACUAGAAAAGGCACAAAACUCAGGGCAUGGCUCUUUGAUAGGAUACAUGAUGAGCACAACAAGACUUCCCUAUGACUAAAAAAUUCAACAGAAUAUCAAAUGCAUCAGAUUUAUCUGUUGAUGUCAUGUUAUCCACUGAUUUGUCAAGUAGGUUCUCCCUGAAACAGGGACUUGAGUCCACAGGGCAUCCAUUUUGCAGACAAUAUCAUCAUUCGCAAAAAACAUGAACAUAAGUUUGAAUACAUCUCUAUCAAGUAAUAAUGCUCAGUAAAAACUUGUAACAAAUAGGAGUACCAACAAGUAGGUUCAGACCUCAGUAACAGCCCAUUAAUCUCAUUAUAAUGUAGGCCCCCCAAGUAGGUUCUCCCUGACUAACAGGGACUUGGAGAAACCUACAUCUCACAUUUUGGGCACUGCAUCAUAGGUCACAUUCUAUUACCAUCUAAAAUAUCUUCUCUUACAUACAAGACUAUGGCUACAAAAGCGAGUUACAAUUCAAAAAAUCAUGAGCUACUUAAUAGUAGACUUCAGUUUAAAAAGCCCAUAUAACUCAUUACAAUGUAGGACCCCAAGUAGGUUCAAACCUGAAAAACAGGCCCUUGAAGCUACCUACAUCUCACACAUUGGGCAACUCUUCAUAGUCUACUAAUGAAACAAAAAAAAUACAACAGAUGGCAACUCAAAUAUUGCUUGAACAAGCUUGCACUAUAAUUAAGAAUACUGUAAAGAGGGCUUUCAAAUUUAUCUCAUACAAUUCAUAUAGCGUGAUAACCUCAGAAAAAGCAAUCAAAACCGUACUAAAUUACGCACCAAACAAAAGCAUUGAACAUGAUUGCCGAGAUUGUCUUAAACCACGUUUCUCAGCAAACAGAGACUUAAAAAAUAAUAAUUAAUGUGGUGAGACAUUUUAGAAGCAUAACCACCAGAUUACUGUUAUCUCCCACGUUAAACUCACCAGAAAUCGAUUUUUGCCUCCAUGACUGGGCAACCAUGAGAAAGAACAAUCUCAAGGAGCCAAAGGUGAGGAGAGGCACGCACAUGGCAAAUACUACCUCAAGAUUUCAUUCGAUUUUUGCACAUCCUCUAUAGCUAUAAUAAUAAACAAAUUAAUCAAGAGUCUUACCCAUCAUGAAUCGGUCUUCUCUGGCGAAUUAGAGGACGGCGGAGAAGACCCAGAUGCCGCGGGAGGAGCAUCGUGUGAGCAACAACCACCGGGGCCGUGAUGAUGGUGGUGGUGAUGGUGGUGCUUCUUGGGCUGCGGCUGCCGCAGCGGCUUGCGCAUGUCGUAGGCGUCCUCGCCGUCGGCGUAGUACUUGGCCUCGACGUCGUGGAUCUGGUACCCGAGCGUGGAGGUGUAGAGGUUGAAGGCCGCGCGGUUGGAGCGGCGGACGUGGAGGGAGACGUACUCGGCGCCGAACACCUGGUCCAUGGCAGCCUGCGCGGCGGACAUGAGCUUGGUGGCGAGGCCGAGCUUGCGGUGGGAGCGGAGCACGGCGAGGGAGGUGAUGUGGCCGUGGCAAGGCUCCGAGGGGUCCUCCUCCAUCUUCGCGAGCACGUAGCCGACGAUCCGGCCGCCGUAAUCCUCCGCCACGAACAGCAGCUGCGGCCACGACAGCAUGUGGUAGAGGUAGUACUUCAUCUGGUAGUUCUCCGGCAGGCACAUCAGGUUGCACGCCUGCAUCGCCAGCAGGUCGUCGAUCGUCGCCUGCCGUAUGCACACCAUCUUCGCCUUCGCCGCCGCCGCCGCCGACUACUUCUCCGGCGUGAUGUGGUGGUGGGUGAUCGCGAUGCGGACGGUGGUGGUGGCGGCGGCCUCUCCUGCGGAUUUAAUAGAGGUGAGGAGGGGAAGAGACCUUGACCUAACCCUAGAGGAAAACGGGCCGUGUAUAUGGAAAGUGGGCUCGUGUAUUGAUAUUAAUGGGCCUUGAUGGGCCGGCCCAUUGCUAUUGCUACAUCGAGAAGGGCGCGCACAACCUAGCCCACUCCGCCGCCGCCGCUCGUCCACAGCUCGCCGCCGCGGCGCCCCUCCCGGCGACGACUGAUGCUCCGCCCCCUAGCCGCCUCCACCCCGCCGUCCCCGAGCAGCUCGCCGACGCUGACCAGAGCAGAGGCCCGUACGACGGUCUCCGAACUGCUCGCGAAGUAGGGGAAGCCGCCACCGCGUUGUCGUCGCCUAAGCUUCGCCGGUGCUCGCAGGGUUUUGGUUUGGUUUGGUUUGGUCCGGUGAGUUCCUUUGCUUUGGUCAGAUAUUUCAUUAGUGGAUUAGUAUGAAAUUAGAGGAUGCUAUUCGGCUAAUAGAAUAUGGACGUAUGGAACCAAUCGUGGUGUUUUGAUAUCACAUUUUGCUGCUUGUUUACUGUUAUCGAUGCAGUGAGGGUUUGAUCAGGAAAGUGCUUGGGCUCAAGUCUGAAGCUGAACCAACACCGGCAAUGUGAGUUAUCAUGUUCAUGGUAUAUUUAAGCCAUUAGUAUCUGGUGGCUGGUGGAGCGAUGGUAUUAGAUAAGUACAUUGAUAUUGGUUGUUAUGUCGAAUUGCUUUGGGCUUUGCUUAGAAUGAACUAUUUGGUUGCACAGAGCAUCCUAUUAACUGUCACCUGAUACUUACACUGCGACAGACAUGACGCUUGACUCAUUAUAUAUUCACUGUCAACUUGUGUUUCAGGGGAGACGAAAGCAACACACUCCGUGUACUUGUGGCAACCGAUUGCCAUCUCGGCUACAUGGAAAAGGACGAGAUUCGUAGGUUUGAUUCAUUUGAGGCGUUUGAAGAGAUAUGCUCAUUAGCAGAGCAGAAUAAGGUUUGUAGGAGCUGCACAUUUUUCCAUUCUUUUCUGCUUGUGUUGCAAAAUUUAUUGGCCUGCUCAUUCUGUUGGGGGAUAACCUUCUAUUUAUGAAUUAUGAAUUAUAAUAUGAUGGAAAUCAUACUGAAUUGCAGGUUGAUUUUGUGCUACUUGGUGGUGACCUUUUCCAUGAGAACAAACCUUCACGUUCAACCUUAGUUAAGACCAUUGAGAUUCUACGGCGUUACUGCUUGAAUGACCAGCCAGUGAAGUUCCAGGUUGUCAGUGAUCAGACAAUCAACUUUCCAAACAGGUUUUGACGAUGAGUUAUAUCACUCUAUCAUGCCAUUUUUUUCUUGAGUGUACUCUAAAUUUGGUGAUCCCUCAAUGUAAUCUUUCAUAAAAGUGUCACUUUUGCUGAAAUUUAGGUUUGAUAUAUCAUACGUGUAUGCAGAUAUGCAUUUUCCCCUUAAUUUUCUUACAUGAAUUUUCUUGGUACAAUCACAGAUUCGGCCAAGUAAAUUAUGAAGAUCCAAACUUCAAUGUUGGAUUGCCUGUGUUCACUAUCCAUGGAAACCAUGAUGAUCCAGCUGGUGUGGUAUGAGAAUCUCGUUCUGACAUUCUGUUAUUAUGGUUAUUAUGCUUAUGAUGGGUGCCAGCUUUUCUCAUGCAUUCUUGCCCCUCUCUGUAGGAUAAUCUCUCUGCAAUUGAUAUUCUCUCAGCCUGCAAUCUUGUAAAUUAUUUUGGGAAGAUGGACCUUGGUGGCUCUGGUGUUGGUGAAAUAGCAGUCUAUCCUGUACUCGUAAAAAAGGUGCGCUACUUCAGCUGCAGGCAAACCAUGAACUCUCACAUGUUAAUCCUCUGUUUUUCCUGUUAUUUCAGGGUACAACUUUUGUUGCGCUCUAUGGCCUUGGAAACAUUAGAGAUGAACGAUUAAACAGGAUGUUUCAGGUGCAUUUCCAUUGACUUUUCUAAGAAUUUGAAGUUAAUUCGCAACUUGGCAGCACUAGAGCAAGAAACUUUCUUGAUCAUUUGAACAUUGAUAUCAUAUUUUUAUAUCAAUUAUUCAGACACCUCAUGCUGUACAAUGGAUGCGACCUGAAACUCAAGAUGGAAUGUCAGUAUCUGACUGGUUCAAUAUUCUUGUUCUUCAUCAGAAUAGGUAUGGGCGGUGAAUGAAUGGUGACAAACUGUAGUGGAAUGUCAGUAUCUGACUGGUUCAAUAUUCUUGUUCAUUUUUUUAUAAUCUUCAUGCCGCUUACUGAAAAGAAAAUUGAAACCUGAAAUCAUACAGGAUAAAAACAAACCCUAAAAGCGCAAUCAAUGAGCAUUUCUUACCACGUUUUCUGGACUUUAUAGUAUGGGGCCAUGAGCAUGAAUGCCUUAUUGAUCCCCAGGUAAUGACUUGGAUUUUAUUUGAUUUCUUUUUUAAAAAAUAACGUGAAUAUGCACUUGUCAUAUGAUCAAUUGUUUAUAGGAGGUACCUGGGAUGGGUUUUCACAUCACUCAACCAGGCUCAUCAGUUGCAACCUCCCUGAUUGAUGGUGAAGCAAAACCAAAGCAUGUUCUCUUGUUAGAAAUCAAGGUCCUAUUGAAAGCUCUCCUCUUCAUGUUGAACAAAACUUCAGUUUGGUGUUUUCUCAUUCCAUUUUUAUUCUUAAACAGGGAAACCAGUAUAGGCCAACCAAAAUACCUUUGAGAUCCGUUAGGCCCUUUCACUAUGCUGAGGUAUGAUACCCCUCAUUUCAUGCUUAUUUCAGUGCUUGGGUCUCACUGUCCUAAUAUAUAGGUUGUGUUAAAAGAUGAAGUGGAUGUUGAUCCCAAUGAUCAGGCCUCUGUUCUUGAACAUUUGGAUAAAAUUGUGAGUUUUCAGUUUUCCAUGAUUUGUUAUAAUCUUUUCCAUUUUAUUGAGAAGCAUGGUGGCAUGCUGGUGUGGAAUUGGUUCAACAUUGGCUUAUUUGCCCGUUUGUUGUCAGUCUAGUUUUCUUUGUUGAAUGAAGUCGUUAACCCUCAAUCUCAUAAUACUCAAUUGUUUCAGGUAAGAAAUCUUAUUAAGAAGAGUAGUCAGCCAACAGCCAGUAGACCAGAGACCAAACUUCCACUAAUUAGAAUCAAGGUAAAAAAAACAGAAGAGAUGUACUCCGCACAAAUUAAUCAAGACAGGAACAAUGAAAGUGCUCAUAUUGUUCUGUAGGUAGAUUACUCUGGGUUUUCAACAAUUAAUCCACAACGAUUUGGUCAGAAGUAUGUCGGGAAGGUAUCUGAGUCCCUAAUUAGGUUCUUACUCAGAAUUCUUACCUGAAUGAGCUUAUUUGAUAGCUUCUUGUUGUAAGGUUGCAAACCCCCAGGAUAUUCUUAUCUUCUCAAAAUCAGCAAAAAAGCGUCAGACUACUGGAGGUAUUCCUUUAUGUUUAAGAAAGACAGUGCACAAGUUAUUUACAUAGUGGCAGAAUGCAUCAAGCUAUGAGGAGCAACAGAUGCCAUGUUAUUCUGACUUUUUUGUUUAACUGACUAUGUCUAUGUAUAUAUACAGUAGGCAAUAUUGAUGACUCUGAGAAACUUCGUCCCGAGGAACUAAACCAACAAACUAUUGAAGCUUUGGUUGCCGAAAAUAACUUGGUACUUCUUGAAACUACAUAUUCUGUAUUAUUUUGCAGUUUUGCUCUUCUCCUAGGAGAAAUAAUUGCUGCUAUCUGUUUUUCUUGAUGGGAUUCCAUUUAGUUGUAUAUAUGAUGAUCAUAAAUGUAAAACAAAGAUCUUGCCUUUUUCCUAUACUGCCUUAUGCACUAAAUGGAUGGUAAUGUGUUUAUUCUUGACUCCUACAGUAUUAGGCUGAAAUAUAAUUAAAUUUUCAGAAAUAUAAUGGCAAGAAAGGUACUUCUGGCUAGGAGGCCCAUUAUGGUAGCUAUUGAAUAACAGCCAAUAAUUUAAUGAGCGACAUCUCUAUCUGGUCCCAUUACACUUCACCAUAUGAGCUUUUUACAAUAAUAGCCUGAGACUAACAGUGGUACUGUGAAACAAGGACUAUUUAAUUGUCUUAGUUGGGUUUGUGGGUCUGGAAUUCCUGAUUUUGUUCUAUAGAUUCUUUGGAUAGCUUCUUACAUCCUUCUUUUUUUUAAAAAAAAAUAUUAGAGUAACAAUAUAAGCUUCAUGACACAAAUCUUGUUUCCAGAAAAUGGAGAUUCUUCCAGUUGAUGACUUGGACAUUGCAUUGCAUGAUUUUGUGAGCAAGGAUGACAAGAUGGCGUUUUAUGCCUGUUUGCAGCGGAAUCUUGAAGAAACCAGAGUAUGCUUUGCUACAUUUUCUAUUGUUGGUUUUAGUUCUUUUUUUUUAUCAAAGGGCCGUAGCUCUCCAUUUCCAUUAAUAGAAAUGAGACUAGAAUACAGAGGUAGCCUUUUUUAGUUCUUAUUUGAUUGCUUGCUGCCUGAUAAAAUUGCAUGCAUCUAAAAUUGAAAUCCUUUGUUGAAACCUGCAGACUAAAUUGAAUUCAGAGGCAGAUAAAUUUAAAAUAGAGGAAGAAGAUAUAAUAGUCAAAGUUGGCGAGUGCAUGCAGGUAUUUGGAGCAAUCUACUAUUGUUCCUAUGAGGUUGUGGGGUGAUUAAAAGGUUAAUAUUUUUAACUACUUAGGAACGUGUGAAGGAAAGGUCCCUCCGCUCCAAGGAAGAUUCACGGUUCACGUCAAGCUCUCAAAACUUGGUGGUUUCAAUGUCCUUAUGCCCUUAAUGUUGUAUGCCAUUUUUUCAUUGUUGCUGAUUGUUUGUUGCUCUUAUGAUACUUGACCAGGAUACUGGAGGUAGAUCUGUUACAGCUCAAAGUAACCUGAACUCUUUCAGUGAUGAUGAAGACACCAGGGAGAUGCUUCUCGGUGCAAGAACAACUAAUGCUGGAAGGAAAGCAUCUGGAUUUACAAGACCCUCUAAAGAUGCUACCGAUGUUGCCAAAACUGGAACUUCCAGAAGGGGCAGGGGAAGAGGGACGGCCUCAAUGAAGCAGACCACUCUGAAUUUCAGCCAAUCAAGGUUAUUAAAUUAAUUGCUACCUUGCAUUUAUACCAUAACUGUGCAACCUAUGCCAAAAUGGAAUAGCCAUGGUACAGUCUAAUUUGCAUUUUGAGUGUUAAAGGUGUUUGAAAUCGUGUGCCCUGGUUUUAACUCUGCAGUAGAUGCUCCAAUGCUAAUUUUACCAUCCAAUAUUUUGCAGGUCAAGUGCUGCUAUCCGCAGUGAGGAAGUGCAAUCUUCUUCAGAUGAGGAAAAUGAGACUAAUGAAGCAAACGAAGUUGUUGAAUCUUCAGUAUGAUCAUUUCCUCUAUUUGUAGUUCUGUACUUUUUCUGUAUUAAUACGCAUAAAUAUAAUGUGCGCUUUUGCUCGUGGCAAAUGACCUGGUGAACUGAAACAUUGUAUAUUCUUGAAUACUCACAGGAACCGGAGGAGAGUCCCCAACAAACUGGACGGAAAAGGGCAGCUCCUAGAGGUGGUAGAGGUAGGGGUAGAGGCGCUACUGCAAAAAGGGGUAGAAAAGCAGAUAUUUCAUCCAUCCAGAGCAUGCUGAUGAGCAAAGAUGAUGAUGACGAUGAUGAAGAUGACAGGCCGAAGAAACCUCCACCUCGGGUAAGUGAAUCACCUUGACAUUUUGUCAGUUUGACGGGUCUUCUUGUGGUUUGUCAUUAAAUUGUUUGCAUUGUGUUGUGUACACGCACUGAUACUACAAACCGUUGGUUUUACGACCUACAAACUGUUUUUUUUUUAGAAUACGACCUACAAACUGUUGGUUUUACGACUUUGUGUUACUCUGCAGGUCACUAGGAACUACGGAGCUGUUAGGAGGAGAUGACCUCUUGUUAGUCUAAGUCUGCCUGGCAAAUUAAGUUUCCAAUGAACUACUGGAACGCCAACUCGCGUGAUUUGUACAUUCCUUAGCCUCAUGGAUUUACGUGCUUGUAGCUGCUAAAUGCUGGAUGUCAGUUUGUACAUUGGCAACAUGACAUUCAUGCGGGCACAAGGGAUUCUCAUCAUCAAUAGUAGGUGUUCUUCAGAGACUAGAAUAUACGUUUUCAUGAUUCAGGCGUACCUGACCGAGCGUCCGAAAGUUGUUCACGACAUAACACUCUGCGUUGGCCAAACCAAUACUAAUUGAUCAUGCAAAAGUCGUAAACUGGAUACAUACGGAGAAUGGUUUAUGCGUGCAUAUAACUAUACAAAAAUCUGCGAGCCGAACUGCCAAAGGUUCCCUGGAACCUAUAGGUCACGCACUCGCGCAUAUCUACUUAAACUACUUUUCUUGGUACCAUGUCCAGUGUUCGCUUAUCGCCACAAAUUAGCUGCCUUGCUAGAUAUGCCAAAUGCUCGUCUGUGGAUUCAUAUAGUUUGGUGGAGGAGCUCCGUAAGGAGGCCUGGGGACUGGAGCUGAGUACUGUGAUCCAGAGUUGUGCACAUCUGUUGUCAGUCAAAGAAAGAUGUGUUAGUUUUACUUCAAUGUUAGCACACUGUCAGUCAAAGAAAGAUCUGUAGUUUUACUUCACGGGUAGCAACAUAAUCUCUAAUUCCAAGUAGCCAAUUAAUAGGUCAAAGAACCCUAUGAUGAUGAGUGCUAAUGUACUCAAAUGUGCUAUAAAAGUUUCUAGUUACAGAGCUUAUUUUUCUCACUUCGUAAUUUUAAGAGUUUGUAUAGUGAAUCUGUAAUCCACCAAGUUGAAUUAGCUUGUAACAAAAUGAACUGAAAAGAAAGAGCCUGAGCUAGCCACUUACCGUGAGAAUGCUGCAUAUAGGGCAUGUAAUUGCCACUGCCAGAAUUGUACACGGCAGGAUGUGUAUUGAUAGGCCUUCCAACAGAAUUUGCCGCUUCAUAGCCAGAUCUCCCAUAGGCUUCAUUUGACACAACUGCAUAGGACUGGUUCCUGUCACCAAUGGGAGCUUGAAUUCUUUGUUGCAUAUCGGUGUUCAUGCUGUAAGGAUUAGGAUUGUAUGGACCUGGGCCACCAUUGGAAUCAUAUACGCUAUUUCCAUGACCGGGAAAUGGGGUAUUUGGAUAUGUUGAAUGGCUUUGGUAUUGGUUUGGGGUACUGGGGUAGUUCAGAUGAAUUUGAUGUUGGGUUGGGUUACUUGGGUAGCUCGAGUGAAUUUGAUCUUGAUAAGGGGUACUUGGGUAGCUUGUCGAUUGGGCUUGAUGUUGGUAUGGGGUGCUUGGAUGGUUUGAUUGGAUUUGUUGAUGUUGGUAUGGGGUAUUUGGGUAGCUGCUUAAGUGGACUUGAUGGUGGUUAAUCCCUGCUGGACUCUGGAAACCCUGAACACCCCAUGCUGCCUGUUGGUGUGUCAAGGCCCUUGGUGUCUGCACACCACUUCCAUAUGGACUGUCCAUUUGUCGGUGAUAACCUGGUGACAGAGAUGGCAUUGUCCCAGCAAUAGUCCCACUAUAUGUUGAGCUCACCUGUAAGCAUCUACGUUAGGACUUGUACAUGAAUCAAAAGAUCAAGCUAACCCAUGAUGACAAAACAUAGGACCAAAUCCAUAAGCAGCAAUAAUGGUAACAUACAUUUUGGUUACUGAAAUUGGCAUAGCUGGGAGUUGAGGCUUUUGGCAGCAAACGUUUCAUCUCAUCCAGGUUUCUCUGGGCUUCAUCCCUGGAAAGCUCUACAAAGAUUACCUGCACAUGUUGAAAAGUGUAAUGAGCUAAGGAAAAACUUGAUAGUAACCAAAAGAUGGAGUACAGCAAUGCCAAGCAACCUCGUCAAAGGGCUCUUUAGAAUCAGGCAUGUCCUUGGACAGUGGUAAGACGAAAUUAGCUGAAAAUAGGUGUUUAUGGCAAUAUAGUAAGUAAUUGAUGCAUAGAACAUAGACAAUGAACAUUUCGAGAUAGCAGUGAUGGAUUUGGCUGGAUACCUGUCAUCUCAUUUACUGCAUCAGCUGGCACAUCCUUCCCCAUUUCCUUGAAACGCUUUGCUGCCCGGACCUUGAGUUCACUUGGCGAUGGGAACACAACCACAGCAGUCUGUUGCACAACAAGUAUAUGAAAUUAAACACCCCACAAACGCAUCCAACAUUGACAUUUAUUAAUUCAGCAACAACACGGCAAACUGUGAAACUGUUAUCCUUUCGCAGCUUACCUUACGGUAGUUUGCAAAUGGCCUUAGUUUGCGACUACGGGCAUUUUUGUAAACAUUAGUCUGAUCGAUGAUGUAGUUGCGAGGGAUCUUCGCAGCCCUGGUCAGCAAUGUGUUGAAAAUCAUUGUGGCACGAUCCAUCAAACGUUCAAAGCGUUCACCGUAGUUAUUCUUACGCAGCAAUCCUGGCACCUGCAAAAGGAAAGUCAUAAACUGAAAAUAGUGGAAAUCAUAGAGCAUGCAAGUUGUGAAACAAGCAUAGGAACCUUCAUUUGCACCAAUGCAAGAUUAGUCCCGAGAAGGAUAAAGCGCUUCUCCUUGUGCUCCUUGAUACACUUCUCUGCCCAUGUUGACUUCCCUGAAGCUGGGAGACCAACCAUCAUCAUGAUUUCACACUCUUUUUGUUCUGCAAACACAGGGCCAGAUACCGCAUUCCCAUCGACACAAGCUGAGGGCCAGAGCUCAUAACCAUCAACAAGCUGCAAUCCAUCCUCCUUGCUGAAUUGCAUCUCGACAACAACAUUCUUCAGCAACACAUGUGGAAAGAUUGCCGACU
RNAcentral lists this long non-coding RNA (76746 nucleotides) under Oryza sativa (Asian cultivated rice). RNAcentral describes it as "long non-coding RNA (OSAT_LNC000862)". The record is from RNAcentral. Lineage: Eukaryota; Viridiplantae; Streptophyta; Magnoliopsida; Poales; Poaceae.